Molecule: long non-coding RNA, 63028 nt
Filed under: Lactuca sativa (garden lettuce)
Lineage: Eukaryota; Viridiplantae; Streptophyta; Magnoliopsida; Asterales; Asteraceae
Description: long non-coding RNA (LSAT_LNC003315)
Source: RNAcentral
GGCCAAAUCAUCUUGGCCUCACAACCUAAGAGCCUUAAAUUCCAACUUAUGAUCUUAGAAAGAUCGGGUUUGGGAGAGGAAACAUGUUUACCACAUCCAUUACAUUAUCUACCAUCGAAACCUAAUAUGAUGGAUGCUAGAGAUGAGACCGAGUUGGUCAUCUUCUCAGCCAUGGACUCUUUGUUUCAGCAAACUGGGAUUGAUCCUAAAGACAUCGAUAUUUUGAUUGUAAACUGCAGCCUCUUUGCACCCACUCCUUCGAUUUCAGCCAUGGUGGUUAACAAGUAUAAGAUGAGAAGUAACAUCAAGAGUUAUAACUUAUCAGGAAUGGGGUGUAGCGCAGGGUUGAUAUCGAUAGAUUUUGCGAAAAACCUACUCCAAGUCCACCCUGAAUCAUAUGCGGUUGUGAUUAGUACUGAGAUUCUUUCCCCGAAUUCGUACAUGGGUGUAGAGAGAUCCAUGCUCCUUCCGAACUGUCUCUUCAGAAUGGGAGGAGCAGCCAUUCUGUUGACCAACAAAAGGUCACACCGGAGAGAUGCAAAGUACGUACUCUUGCAUGUGGUUAGGACCCACAAAGGGUCUGACGAUAAAUCAUAUCGUUGUGUCUCACAAGAAGAAGAUAAAGAGGGUCAUGUCGGUAUAGCGCUAAACCUAGAUCUCAUGGUGAUCGCUGGCAAUUCUUUGAAGUCGAACAUAAGCACCAUGGGGCCAUUGGUUCUUCCAGCAUCGGAGCAACUCUUGUUUCUUUUCAAUUUCUUGGGGAGAAAGUUCCUUAAGCUUAAUCUUAAACCCUACAUUCCCGACUUCAAAAAGGCAUUCGAUCAUUUCUGCAUUCACGCAGGUGGUCGUGCGGUUAUUGAUGAGCUUCAGAAGAGCCUUAGGCUGACGUCAGAGCAUGUUGAAGCCUCAAGGAUGACGUUGCACCGUUUCGGAAACACAUCGUCUUCGUCAUUGUGGUACGAGAUAGGUUAUAUGGAAGCAAAAGGGAAAAUGAAGAAAGGAGAUAGAGUCUGGCAAAUAGGGUUUGGGAGUGGGUUUAAAUGCAACAGUGCAGUUUGGAAAUGUAACAGAGAAAUCGAAGCUACAAAAUAUAGUGCAUGGGCUGACUGCAUCCAUAGGUAUCCAGUAAACGAGCCAGAAGGUGGGAAGCUCUAAGCGAGGGUCAAGUAUGUCCUUUCAAUUUUAAUGUGUGAUAUGUAUGCUAUUUCUUACCUUAAAUAAAAAAGUUUCACGUGCUUCAUAUGUAAUCCAAGAGACCACGUAAAAAUCAACAAUUUUUUUUUAAAUAUUAUUGGCAUAUAAUUAAGGAUGCCCUUUUAACCCAUUAAACACUUAAUCACUACUUUAUUGAAUGAUUAUUCAACAAUCAUUCAGCUUUACUCUAUAUCAUCACUCAUACUCCAUUCAACUCUUAUACUAUUUGUAUUAUGGAAGCUCUAAGAAUUAUUCUCUGAUAUCAUUGCAAGUGGAAGUGUUAUUCGCUAAUAUCAUUACAAAUGGAAGUGUAUUUUUGUAUAGUAAUUUUUUGUCUUCAUAUUUUAACAAAACAACCACAACCACCACGAAUAAAAGCCUGGAAACUUGCCGGAACGACUUUUGUGACAUGUAGCAUCACCAAUAAAUAUUUAGGAAUACUUUAUUACUCGAGAGAAUAAUUUAAGAUGAUUUAAUUGUCUCAACCAAAUAAAAAUCAUGUGCACCUAUUUAUUGGUAAGGGUGUUGAAUAUGGGCAACACCCAUAGGGCGUUCUUAGGCGUUAUAAUGCACAAACACCGGCCCCCUUCACGGUUUUUGGGCGUUAUACGACUGUCGUUACUUCCCGUUGCCACCACCAUCUUCGUUUAACGACGUUUCUUUCUUUUUAUCUAAAAACGCCUGUGUUGGCGUUACCCACACCUACCACCCUAACCCUAAGUAGUAAUUAUUAGCAUGUUCCAGAUGUUUCGUUUAACAAUGUAGAUAUAAUUGUUCAUCUCUUAAGAGUCGAGAUGUCAUCUACUUCCAUCUAUUUAAAUACUUGGAGAUUAUAUGUUUAAGUUUUUAUAUUAUUAUUACAAUUAGACGAAUAUUCGCACGUUAUGUAGAAUAAAAUUAUAUAAUUAACAUUUGAUAAGUACAUAUUGAAAAUAAUUAUGUAUUGAGGUUAAACUAUGAAAUAAAAGUUUCUUAUACUAAUUGUUGUAUAAAAUUGUAAUAAUUUUGAACCAUAUUAUAACAUAUAUUAAAAUCAUUUUAAUUUGCUGCAGCUACUUGCCGCCGACGCGUAAAUAAAAUUAAAUACAAUUCUUUAUUUAAUAUUACUUUUAAAGUUAUGAUUAAUUAAUUUAGAAAUUAUUUGUAAUUUAAAAGGUAAUGUUAUAUUAAUUAUUAUUAUUUUUAAUUAAUUAAAAAUUAUAUUGUAACACUCCGAGUUCAGAGGUGCAAGUUCAAGGUUCUUAGUGUAAAGAAGGAAGGUCGACUCGGUGAGUCGAUGGAUAGACUCGGCGAGUCGAGUCGCGGUCCUGGUCACGUGUUAAAUGACCAACUCGGCGAGUCGGCGGCUGGACUCGGCAAGUUGGUGCUGAAAAGAGAAAACCCUAAUCACGUAAAGUUUGCAACCUUAUGUGAGGGUUAGGCUGUAGAGGAAUGGAUCUAUGGAUUGGAGUCCCUGCAUGGCUUGAAAAGCCUCUGUUUGGAAUGAGAACUAAAGAGACUCGACGAGUCACAUGGGUGCACUCGACGAGUUGUAUGAAUAUGUGCAUGGACUCGGUAAGUUGGAAGAACAACUCGACGAGUCUGUUGAAGAUUUCCUGGGACUCGGCGAGUCUGGUCGUGGAAACCUAGCCUUUUCUGGUUGAGCCGAGAAUCGGUGAGUCGAGGGACGACUCGGUGAGUUGAGCAGGAUGGGACUCUAUGAUCGUUGGACUCGACGAGUCUUUGGGUGACUCGGCGAGUUGAGUCGUGUUCUAAGAGUUUUCAGAGCAUAGGGACCCGACGAGUCAGUAGGUUGACUCGACGAGUAAAGUCAGUCAGGAAAUUUGACUUUNGGGGUGACUCGCGAGUUGAGUCGUGUUCUAAGAGUUUUCAGAGCAUAGGGACCCGACGAGUCAGUAGGUUGACUCGACGAGUAAAGUCAGUCAGGAAAUUUGACUUUGACUUUGACCAAGAGUUGACCAGUUGACUUCUAGGGGUAUUUUGGUAAUUAUUGGUAUUUAUUGGAUUUGGUUAUUUGGUAAUGUUCGGUGGUGGAGUUCGUGUCGGUGGUCGGAGCACAGUGAUCUUAUUCUUCAGCCGGCAGUUGCAGGUGAGUUAUUCUCACUAUAUCAACAGGGUCUAAGGCACCAAGGCCGGCCCUUUAUCGGAUGGAAAUCCAGGUAGUUGUUUGUUAUGUUAUUGCUUUGUUAUGUUUGCAUCCUGGUAGUUAGGAUGGUGUAUGUUAGAGACCUGGUUAGGGUCGGUAUCCUGGUUUAUAGGAUGAUGCUAUGGUAGUGAGCGGUUAGGUCAAAAUCCUGAUAAGGAUGUGCUAUGUAUGUGAUCUGCUAAGAGCGGUUUGAUUAGUUGUGAAUUGAUAUAUGAGUAUAUGUUUAUGUGCACAUGGUUGUUGGACUGGGGUUGGGUUGAGGCGGGGCCUUCUUUGUGCUAUAGGCCAACAUACCCGGGCGGACCGNNNNNNNNNNNNNNNNNNNNNNNNNNNNNNNNNNNNNNNNNNNNNNNNNNNNNNNNNNNNNNNNNNNNNNNNNNNNNNNNNNNNNNNNNNNNNNNNNNNNNNNNNNNNNNNNNNNNNNNNNNNNNNNNNNNNNNNNNNNNNNNNNNNNNNNNNNNNNNNNNNNNNNNNNNNNNNNNNNNUGUAGACUCGAUGUAUAUGGCUAGACUCGGAGGGUGGACCAGGUGGACUGUAGGCCCGGUGCGGCGGACCAGUCACACAGUAAACCCGAAGUGCAUGGUUGUUCUGUUUUGUUAUGAUAUGACAUGUUAUGUGUAUGGUAUAUGUGGUUGGUAUUUUGGGGGUAUCUCACUAAGCUUUCGGGCUUACAGUUGUGGUUUAACGUUUUAGGUACUUCAUGAGACCGUGGCAAGGCGAAGGCGUGAUCGUACCGUUCCUCAUGUUUAUGUUUUAUGAUAUGGUUCUGAGAAUACUCUGAUAACAAAUGUAUUGAAAACCUUUUUGUAAUAAAUUAAUGAAAUUAGGUUGUUUUUGAAAAGUUUAAAUUGGUUGAAAUUUUUAGAGCGUUACAUAUAUAUUUGGAAACUUUUCAAUUAACAUAAAAUUAGUUUUGGAUCUUAUUUUUAUUUAAAUUGAAAUAUCAUUUUAGUUUUACAUUUAAAACAUUUAAAUGUUUUAAACUAUUCUAAAAAUAGUAAUUGUAUAUUUUGAAGUUUAUUUGAUAUUUUGAUUUAUAUAUUGGAUUUAACAUACUAUUUAAAUUAAUAUUUUCAGUAUAUUAUAUUUAUAAUUGUAACAUCUUAAAAAUCACAAUAAAAAUUUUCAUUUUAAUUAAAGUAAAAUCAUUGUUUUCAACCAAAACCCAAGAAACCAAUGUCAAGUACAAAUAUUCCAAAAUCAAUGUAUCAUAAUAACUCCAAAAUAUGUCGUUGAAGGAUGUGUAUGAUCACGCAUUUGUUUUUCCCCUAUCGUUUGAUGUACCUGAAACAUAAAACUUAAACUGUAAGCCAAAGUUUAGUGAGUUCCCCAAAAUAUCACCACACAAACAUAUAAUAUAGCAUGCAUACUGGUAAGGGUAAGAAUCGGUUCGAUUUUUUGGUUUUUCGGUUUCCACGAAUCAGUUUCCUCGGUUUGAAAUUUUUUUUGGUCAAAUUUGAAAACCGAACCAAAUCGAAUUUAAUUUCUCUAGACCAAACCGAAAACUGAAUUCUAAUUUGGUUUGGUUCGGUUUGAAAACCGAGGAAACCAAAUAUAAACUUAAAAAAAUUUCAAAUAUAAAUUAAAAUGUUUUUAACAUAGAAACCUGAAGUUGCAAAAAGAAAUAUCUAAAGUUUCAUUACAAAAUGAUCCAAAAAGUAAAUGAGUUAAAAUGAUUUUUACUUUAUUAUUAAUAAUUUUAUUUAAUAUAAAAUAUAAAAUAUAUUUUUUAAUUAGCUAAUUUAUGAAAUUCGGUUUUUUCAGUUCGGUUUGGUUUAAACAUCAUGAGACCGAAACUCGAACCAAAAACCAAAUUCACAAUUCGGUUUGGUCUUGAAUCGAAUCGAAAACCAAAUUUAAAUAUGGUUCGGUUUGAAAUCGAUUUCGGUUCGAUUUAUUUUUCGGGUUUUUUGGUUUCGGACCAAAUAAUUCUCACCCCUACAUAAUGGGCCCAUAGACAUUGGGCUAGAUUACCCUUGAGCCCACAACAUAAAUCUGACUUGCCUUUCUAGCCCAUAGCUCAUGUCUGGAUUGCUCCUGAGCCCACAACAUAAGUCUGGCUUGCCUUUCUGGCCCACAUCUUAUGUCUGGCUUGCUCCCGAGUUUGUUGGUUUCCGCAUAGAGUUGUAUUGCCUCAACCCAACCAUACUAUGUCGACAUAUACAACAGAUGAGCAUAUAACUAGCAAACAGAUAAUCAUGCAGAUCUAACAAAUCACAACAGCAUAUCAGUAUCCUAUAUACCAGGAUACAUAACAGAAUGGGCCUACAUUGGUGCCUUUGACCCACAAAUACAAUGAGGAAACUCACCUUACAAUCCGAUAAGAUAGCAGAAAAAAAUGUUGAUCCAAAAUGUCAACUCUACAGGUCACCUAUAUAGAAAACAUUGACCUAGAUUCAAUUCACAACUCAAAAUACCCAAAAUGCUCCUAGGUCAAACUUGGUCCAAAUUAUGGUUAAAGGUCAAAAGUCAAAAAGUCAAAGAUUCCUUAUGGGAUGUGUACGCCCUACGUACUCCUCUCUACAACCAAUGUAUAGGGUGCCUUUCCAAACCACAAGCUCAAACCCCAGGACGCGCAACGUACUUUUGUUACGCCCAACUUACUUGAGCUGAAUCUAAACUUUUCCAUUAAACUCUUAUUUCGUUGAGACAAAGCACCAAACUUCAUAUAUGGAUAUCACUGGAUGUCUUAAUGGAUAAAGUCUCUUACUUUAUCCAUUUGCAUGCAUUCAUGAGGGUAAAAACUCAAAUCCUUGGUCCAAAACUCCUAAACUCUUGUAUGGCUUAAUGAGAGUGUCCACGUGACAUCCUCAUUUUUACAGCCAGAAUAGACCGAUUUCGUUUAUGCUUUUAUAAUAAAAUCAGAGUAAUCUUCAAAGAAAAGUGUUGCGGAAAUUGUUCCCAAAGACAAAAUAGGACAAAAAUUUAUCAAAGCAUUUCUUAAAGAAAUGUAUUUUCAUUACAUUACAAAACUCGGGAUGUCAUCUUCGAUACAUAACAAAAGCAUAAACAUGACAUCAUGGCCACAAAAAUUGGCCUCAAAACAUCAUAGGCCUUACAACAUUCUAUUCAUUUUUCUAUAAAUCCAUAAUCUAUCGUCAGAUCAUCAAACUAUGCUUUUGCCACUACUUGUAAUACAAGAAACUGAGUGGCUCAGGCCGGGGAGCCUGGUGAGCAUAUAGUGUUUUCAAGCCACAAUAAUAAGUUUAUUAUUUAUUUUCAUCAAAUCAUUAACCCGAUUACCCGUUCGCGUAAUCCUCACUUUACGUCCCUAAAGCAUCUAUUCUAAGGGACCUAGUCUAAGGAUUUUUGUUGGAGUGACAACACUGCUUAGGGGAUUCCUCAGCAGUACAUGUCAAAUAAGGCAACCAUGGGGGGAUGGAGUGCGUCUGGUGAACACUUAGUUCAAAAACACCUAUAGGUUGUGAGCCUGCUAACGUUACACUGGAUUGCCUAGAAAAGUCUAUGGUUGUAAUCUAUACUCCGCUAGAUGACUAGAUCAUCUUCAACAUCGAGGCCUCUCAUCAUUUUAUCAUACAUCAACUAUUUCAUCUACCCAUGUUCUACCCAACAUAUUUGUAGAUAUAAAAUACAUACACUAUCCAGAUCUGAAAAACAAAGUUUACAUCUUUCAUCCAGCAUAACUUUCGAAGCAUAAAAUACAUAUACAAUCUAGAUCUGAAGAAAAGCUUAGAUCUGAGGUGAGAAAGUGUAGAUCUAAAGGAAAAAGUUUCAGAUCUGAAAGAAAAGUUUAGAUCUGAAAGAUAAAGUUCAGAUCUAAAAAGAAAGAAUCAUAAAUAUUUCAUCCAACAAACAUCUCAGGUAAACAGAUAACACACACACACACACACACAUAUAUAUAUAUAUAUAUAUAUAUAUAUAUAUAUAUAUAUAUACACACACACACACAUAGCACAUACUUUUUAUAAAAUACUUCAUAUUUAUGUGUAAUAUGAAAGUGACUAUACACUCACCUGAUAAGGGGUGAUUCGUACAACACUUUGCUUCUUAAAAUGAUCUUCUUUGAUGAAACCGCGAGGUUUGCUUGAAAACCGCUCUAUACGCGGGCAGAGUUUCAAACCGAAAAACUUUUUUUUCUCGGAGACUUAGGGCUCUCCAAGGCUUUCUUCUAGAGCCAUAAAGGUUUCCUAGGCUUCACGGGGUUGGGAUAGGCUAGAGAGAGAGUAUAGAGAAAAAGAGAAGGUGAAAUGGUGUGGAAAACUGGUCUCCCUCGCACCCCUAUUUAUAGGUGCGAGGCUUCGCACUAUGCUAGGCGUAGUUCCGAAGUACGCUGGGCGUACACCGAAGUCGUACAACACAUGUCCAAAAUGUGUAGGUGCGACAUGGAGGCUUCUAGACCGAGGAAAAUUCAAUCCGCGGGGCGUACUUCGGUACGCUGGACGUACCCCUCGAACCAGGUUCGAGAUUUCCCACUCCAACUUCAAAAAUUCAUAUCUUUCGCACACGAGCUUUGUUUUCUAUGUUCUUUAUAUCCACACGCAGGUGAGACCAUACUCUACAACUUUCGUUUAGACUCCGUUGGCUAAUUUUGAAUCUAUUUUUAAAGUUACAUUAUUAACAGGCCGGGACAAUAAAGUUCGUUAAAAAUUCAUAACUUCCUCAUCCGACGCUCGUUUUCGUCUGUAUUUUUUACCGUUUAAUUACUAUUAACGAGACCAUCUAUUCUCAUUUAGGUUGUGUCGGCCAAAAAUGGAUCGAUCUAACAUUUGAAUUUCGGGUUGUGCACUGCUGAUCCGAAACUUAGAAAAAUCAUAACUUCCUCAUACGAAGUCAGAUUUAGGCGUUCUUUUUAUGCACGUUCUCGGUUUAACGAACACUAUGACUUUUGUAUAGAUCGCUAAUUCUAAAAAGUCCUCUAUCGUAAAUUCACUAUUUACGUCACGCAGUGGCGUGCCGGUUCUGUCGCGAAACUCAACAUGUGAUAACUUCUUCGUUAUAACUCGGAUUUCGGUGUCCUUUAUAUGUACAUAAUCCUUGUCACGGCCACUACAACUUUCUUCAUCGAUUUCAGGCUUAUUUCACACUUUAUUUUUAACACUUAUUUUUAUCCUUUAUUUAUUAUAUUAUUAUAAACAAGUAUAAGACACAUAAAUUCACAUAGUAAUCAACUAAUUCAUCUUUAUUAUUUUAAAAUAGGCUACAAUGGUUGACCUAGACUAUUACAUCAUCAUUAAUUCUUAGCCCAGAAACAUGGGCGUUACAAUUCUUUCCCCCUUAGGAUGAUUCCGUCUCGGAAUCAUGCAUCAACAAACAAAUGUGGAUAGCGACUCAUCAUGCCACUCUCCGUUUCCCAAGUGAGAUUUGGUCCAUUCUAAUGUUUCCAUCGCACAAGCACUAAGUCGACCAUCUUGCGUCACAACUUCUUGGUCUUACGGUCAACAAUUGUUUCCGGUUCUUCAAUUAGCAUCUUAUUUUCAUCCAUACUUAAUUCAGAAAUUAGAAUUAUGUCGGGAACUUCUCCCGUGAACUUCCUCAAAUAACAUACAUGGAAAGUUUUAUGGAUACCAUCUAAUUCUUAUGGUGGUUCUAGCUUGUAACCUUGGUUCCCAAUCCUCUGAAGAACUUUGAAUGGUCCAAUGAACCUUGGACUCAACUUUCCUCUUUUCCCAAAUCUUAUAAGUCGCUUCUACAGUGAGACUUUAAGCAAAACCAAAUAUCCAACUUCGAAUGUCACUGGUUGUAUCUUCUUGUCAGCAUAGCUCUUUUGAUGAUCUUCAGUUGCCAACAUCCUUUCCUUAAUUACUUUCAGCUUUUCAGCUGUCUGAUGGACUAUCUCGAGGCCCAUAAAUUGCUUUUCUCCAGCUUCAAGCCAACAAGACGGCGUACAACACUUUUUUCCAUACAAAGUUUGAUAAGGUAUCAUCUUGAUGCUCAAAUGGUAACUAUUGUUGUAGGAAAACUCUACCAGAGGUAAAUGUUCAUCCCGGUUACCUUGGAACUCUAUGGUACAUGCUCUUAGCAUAUCCUCCAAUGUCUGAAUCGUUCUUUCACUCUGACCAUCGGUUUGUGGAUGGUAGGUUGUACUUAAACACAACUUUGUACCCAAUUCCUCUUGCAGACUCCUCUAAAACCUUGAUGUGAAACGACUAUCACGAUCUGAGACAAUCGUUAAAGGUACAUUAUGAAGUCUUACUACCUCCUUCAUGUAAGCAUUUGCAAGCUUUUCCAUAGACCAUCUUUCAUUAGCUGCUACGAAGUGUGCACUCUUAGUGAACCGAUCAACGACCACCCAAAUCAUGUCGUGGCCGUCCUUCGUUUGGGACAGUUUAGUGACAAAAUCCAUGGUGAUGUCUUCCUACUUACCCAUCGCACAGGUUACGCACUCGGCCAUAUACUUCGCAACAUCGAGCUUCAUCGUCGGCCAUCGGCAGUAGGGUCUCAGAUCCUUAUACAUUUUUGUGCUGUCGGGAUGAAUCGAGUACAUGGUCUUGUGAGCUUCUUCCAUCAGAAGAUCUUUUAUUCCUCCCGUCUUAGGUACCCAAAUCCUAUCUUGGAAUACCUUUAAUCCAUGAUUAUUCGUACCGAACACCAACGUUUUGCCCAAACGUUCCUCCCUUUGGUUAUUUUUCCCCUAUAUAAUCUCAUUAAGUCCCAUAAGCUUAACCUCUUACCAGCCUCCAUAUCUCCUAAACCCUAAUUUCGACUCUUAGCCACCAUUUUUGUGCUCUUGAGCUCUUGUAAAGAAUAUUGUUGUUUUCUUAUACAUUUUGAAGUGAUAGAAGGAUAUUGAAGACUCAUUGCUUGGAGUGAAGCUUAGAGAUCCAUAAUUAUCACCUCUUUUGUAAGCCAUUGAAGGUAUAAAGUUCUUAGCUUGACAAAUCCUUAUGUAGAUCUAGUUUGGGUUGAUUUAUGUCUUAUUUUGGUCCCUUUUGGUUGGUCCUUGUGAGUAAAGGUUAUUCCAGGAGUUUAGCCUCUAGAUCAUGAUGUUUUAGAGGUCCCUAAUGCAUAAAAAUGUCACCUUUGUGGGUUUUGUGCAUCUAUGCAAAGGUGAUGUCUCAUUUAUGGAGCUAAGAUGCCAAAUUUGGACUUUGGAGUAUUUUUAGCCAUGCAAAGCCUUGAAGCCUUCGACUUUAUGGGUUAGGACCUUAAUAUGUAACAUACAUGUUCAGUUAUCGUGUUUUGUUUAAAGAUUAAUAUUAUUAAAUAAUAUAUGAUUUUGAGUAUUGAGUUCUAACAAGAUAGUUUUAUGAAGAAUUGAAGUAAAACUACGUUUAGAAUCAUUUGAGAAGUAUUGGAAGUCUUGUGAGAUUCCAAACAAAAGUCAAAUAUUGAAAUUAACGAAAAUAUAAAGUUGGAAAUAAAUAAAAAUAAUGUUAUUGAAAGUUGUAUAUUAUCUCGUUAGAAACAUUUAGGCGAAAACCUCAUUGAAAUCCGAUUUAUAACGAAGAAGUUAUGACCAAUCGAAGAUCCGCGACAAAACCGACAAAAAACUAUUUAGCGUAAAAAGUGAGUUUUCGAUAAACUAAUUUUUAGCUUUAGUGAUCCAAAUGAAAUUCGUACUAUUCGUUAAACCGAUAAUUUUCAUAAAAAGAACGUCAAAAUCUGACUUCGUAUGAGGAGUUAUGAUUUUUCUAAGUUUCAGUAUAACAGUAUACAGCUAAAAACUCGAAAAAAGAUCAAGUGAUUUUUAGCCAGUGCAACCUAAACGUGAAUUCAAGGUCUCGUCAAUAGUGACCGACGGAAACGGACGUCGGAUCAAGAAGUUAUGAAUUUUUAAUGGAUUUUCCUGUCCCGGUCUGUUAAAAAUAAUAAUAUUAAAAAUAAAGUCAAAAUUAGCCGACAGAGUCUAAAUAAAAGUUGUAGAGUAUAAUCUCACCUACGUGUGCAUAUAAAGAACGUCGAAAACGGAGCUCGUCUGUGAAAGUUAUGAAUUUUGAAGUUCGGGGCACAAAAACCGAGAAAAUUCGCCUGUGUAUGGUCCGGGUUUGGCCACGUAGCACCUGCGCAUGCGAGAUGCGUGUCUGGUCUAUGGAAUGACCGAAGUGAGCCACGUCGCCCUUCCCUUGCGAGCCACCCCGUGUCCGAAGCAGGUGAGUCAUCCAAAGCGCUGGACUAAUUUGAAGCCGACGCGUGCCCCCUUACCCGCCAGCUGUCCGGCACGCAUCCUUCCCUCUUCCCUCCGGAUCUGAGCCUCGCACCUAUAUAAGGGAGGUGCGAACCUUCCCGGGUUUGGUUGGUAUUUUCCAUACUUUUUCACACUAAACUUUAUUUUAAGCCCCUUUUAAACCCCCGAAGCCUCGAGAACCUACCUAACACCCAAAGAACGUCCCGAAGUACCCGAAGACCCCAAGAAAUUUAUCUUUUCGGUUUGAAGCUCAACCCUCGCAAGGCCCGGUUUUCAAUAAAGCUUCGGUUUUCAUCGAAGAAAGUUAUUUAUAGGAAUGAAGUGCUGCCUAAAUUACUAUUUUAACCUCCGGUUAUUUCACAGUGAGUUCAAAUUAUUGGAACAAUUGUAUGUUAUGUGUUAUAUGUGUUAUGUGCUUUCCCGUAUUAUUAUGUUAAUGAUCUAUACCUUUGACUAUAAAGUGAAUGACUAAGCAUCACUUGGGUAUUGGUAUGUAGCCUUUAACCAUGAAGUGAAUGAGUAAGCAUCACUUUGGCACUGGCAUAAUGCUGGAUAGGGCUGAAAGCCUGUAAAUUCUAGCAAAAUGUUAACUCAGAAAUCGUUUAUUUUCUAUGCCACUUGGGCUAAAGUCUUAUUGAUGUAUAUCAAGUUGAAAUUGUUGUAUCUCAUUGAUUGUAAAUCUUUGAACCAGAUCAUUUGUUGAAAUGGAAAGCUUGUCACAUGAUUCACAUAUGCCUUUGUUGUUCUUUGUUCCUCUUGCUUCUAUCAUAUUGGUAUAUAGAUGACAUAACGUUAUAUUGUAUCUAUUUUUGAACUCACUAAGUGUCGCCGCUUAUCCCUUUCAUUUUUUUUAACUAUUGCAGGUAAUAAGGAUCCAGUAUAGACAUAUAAUGUUGGAAAAUUUAGAAUAGUUAAUAAUAUUACUUUUGUAUGUAGUGAUCGUGUAUGUAUAAAAUUAUAAUUUCCUGGGUAGUUAUGCAAUAUACUAAAACCUAGUUGGUUUGUAUCCAACCUUUUGUAAUUAAACUAUCAAUGUAAAAUAUUGUUUAUAAAUAUGCAUGCAACAUGUUUUGGAGUAACUUGGAGUAAUAAUGUUAAGUAUGAAAGAGGUUCUCUCAUGAUAUGAAGAUAUCAUGUGGAUUGGAUAGUAACUUCUGAAGUGAUUAAGUCAUUUGGCUAAAGAGUUGGGAUCAUGUCAGUACGUGGGGCAUACUCCUGGGUAUGCUGAGCGUACUGGCUAUGAGUCCAUGUCUGCAUCGAUCGCGUACGCAGGGAGUACGAGCUUGUUGCGCCGAGCGUACGCUAGUCUGGGCCGAAGAGAUUGUGGGUUGUAUUUUUGGGCCAUGUUUUAGACCAUUAUGAUUUCGGCAUUUCUAGGGCCAUUAGACUUCUAAUUUUGGACUUGCUUGUACUUUUAGGUUUCCUUGGAUUUAGGUCCAUGAUGGUUUUUGGGCCCAUUUUGGAAGAUUGUGCAAUAUUGGGCUUUGGGUUGCCAAAUAGGAUUUGGGUCUUUUGAAUAAUGGACUGGGCCUUGGUUUUGGGCCAUGUAAGAACAAUGGUAAAAUGGUCUUUUACACUGGUUAUGGGCUAGGCAGCUUAGACUCUUGGUCUUAGGUUGGGAUCAAAUUAUUAAUUGGACAUUAUUUUGAUAAUGAUAGCGCGGGGAUUUUCCGGACCAACAGACAGAGAUUCAUCAAGUGUUUUAGCAGCUAGAGGUGAGUUUCCCCACUGUGUGUAAUGGGUCGAAGGCACCAAUGUCGACCUAUGGUCCUUACGUUAGGAUGCUAGAUGUUUGCAUGACUCUUGCAUGUGUUAUGUGCUUGUAUGCUUACCGGGCGGGGCCCGGUGACCAUUAUGUAUGCUAUUUAUCUUUGUGAUUAUUGCAUGUGCAUGUGAUUAUUGCAUGUGCAUGUGAUUAUAUGCUUAUAUGUUUUUAUGUAUAUCGGGCAGGGCCCGGUGACUGAAAGAUAUGUAUACCGAGCGGGGCUUGAUGCCGGGCGAGGCCCACUAUAUGUUUGGUAUGUAUGGUAUGUGGUAUCUUGGGGAACUCACUAAGCUUUGUGCUUACAUUUUCAGUUUAUGUUUCAAGUACUUCUGGUUUGAAGGAAAAGAGUCUGGGAUGACUGCAGUGCACACAUCAUCUCAUUCCACAUUUUCUGAUUACUAUAAUGUUUUAUGAUGUAUUUAAUACACUUUGUCCACCAUGGUUUUAUGAUGAUGUUUGGAUAAUAAUUUUAUUAAUUUUAUAAACAAAAAUUUUUUGGUCUUAAUUUUGGGACGUUGCAAAGGGGUUGCGAGGUCUUGUUAUUAUUGGAUUUCACACACGAUUACAUCAAAAUCGAUUAAGAAGUGAAGUAACUGAGGGUAGCUGCUUUUCUUGGAAGAAGGAGAAUGGGGAAGGAAAAGACGAUGAUAGGAAUCCAUUGUGAAAGGUAGUGUUUCAUUUGGGGGAAUGCAUUUUUUUGUGUAAUGUAAAAUUAAAUAAAACAAAAAGAAAAUUAAAUUGAAAAGGGUAUAAUAGUAAUUUUAGAUUAAAAUUGCAACAAUAUGAAGCCAUGAGGAUCAACCAUGAAGGAUUUAGAAAUCAUAUGGGCCAUGUUCGUCAAUUGUUUUUAAUAGGGACUGAAGUUGUAACCUUUGGUAAACAACAGAGACCAUUUAUGUAUUUUUAUCUUAAUUUUAUUAAUAGUAACUAAUACAAACUUAAGACCAAAAAAUACUGACAUGAUAAAAAUUAAGAUAAAUGACACAUUUUUUAGUUGUAAGAUAUGCAUUUUAUAAGGGCUGGAUAAAACAAAAAAUUAAAUAUGACAGUUUAAACAAAAAUUUAUUUAAAAUUGAAAUUUUAGAUUUGAAAUUUAAAAUUUAAAAUUUAAAUUUAAAAGGAAACAUAUUAAAUACAAUAUAUGAGUAGUUAUAUUGUAAUUUAUUGACUAUUUUCAAUUAAGGCAAUUAUUAAUUGAGGUGUAAAUGACAUGUAUCCAAGUUAAUGAAAGAGUGAGAUUUGACAAAAAAAAAUCUUUACUUGUUAGAGUAAGAUGUGUAUUAAUGUAAUUAAUACCUUUUAUUCCUGAAUUCUUGUUUCUAUUAAUAUAAAUUAAUGUAGAUAUUAACCUUCAAUUUGUUAACUCAUAUUCAAUAAUUUUAAUAGAAUAGAUUAAUUAAGAUAAAAUUACAUAAAUAGUCAUUAUGGUUUAGCAAAUGUCACAAACUAAGUCUCUACUAAAUUUUUUUUUGCCAAACAUAGUAUUUGUGGUUUUCAGAACUUGCGUGGAUGGUCUUUUUACUUAUACCGUUACUUUUGGUCUUUUUAGGUAGGAGGGAUUGAAUUUGUGACAAUGGGUAAAUCAUAAGGACCACUUAUGCAAUUUUGUCUAUAAUUUAUGUUUAUAAGUUUGGAGUUUUUCCACCCAUUUACCUUUUAAAAUGACUUUUUGACCUUUUCACUUUUAACUUUAUAGAUUAUUACUUUCACCAUCGAUUUUCUAAACUUUUUUUUAUCCUCCAUGAUAUAUAUAAUAUGAUUUUCUUUAAUAACUUUCAUCCAUUAACAAAAAAAAACCAUUUUUUACGUGUUAAUUUUUAUAUAUGUGUUGGUAUAUAGUCAAGGUGAUCAACGUUUUAACUUGAAUUUAGAACUUUCGUUCGUUAACUUUAUAAAAAAUAAACAUACUUUCUUUUUCUUGAUGUAUGUGUUAGUUAAAAUUUGAGAUUGUCUGUGUUUCGACGUUAUUUUUCUUUUUUGCAUUUUUGUGCUUAAUAUUAUAUAUGUUUUCUACGUAUGAGUCCGGUUAAAUAUAAUAACUUCCGUUCGUUAAAAAAUGAGAAUUUCAUCUAUAUCCUUUAAAUUUUCAUAAUUACGUCUAUAUCCUUCUACAACUUCAAAUUACAUGUAUAUAAUUAUAAAACCUACAAACUCACAUUGAUAACGUUGAUUUUAUACAUAUAUUUCUGGCGUUUUAUUAUUAUUUUAUAUACUAUGUUUGGAACAAAAAGUACUUAUUAUACUUUAAAUUGAUAUUUUCCAAAUAUAAUAUGCUACUAGAGCGAAAAGAAAACAAAAAUACUGGAAAAUGAAGCUACAAUGCAAAAAUAAGGAUUAAUGUUGAAAUAUACUUUUACGCUACAAUGCAAAAAUAAGGAUUAAUGUUGAAAUAUACUUUUACACCAUUCAUAGUUGGUCCUAUUGAACACAGACAUGUAAUGAUCUAUGACCUGCGUAGUUAGAGUUACGCCCAACAUAAUAUGUCGGCAGGAAUUUAUAUAAAUAGCCUUUAAUCUCUAACCUAAAGGGAGAUUUAGAUUUCUAAUCAUCCUCAGUCGACAAGUAACACCUAUAUUUGUUGUUUUGAGGGUCUAGAAAGCGGUCGUAAGGUCGUUAAGCUGAUAGGACCAAAGAUCUGAAGGAAUAGAGAGCGGAUUCAUGUUGGAAAUCAUUUGGUUUGUUGUUACAACCACGAUUAGCAUUCCAAUAUGAUUCUAUAUGUAUUUAUUUUCUGGUUUAGGUAUUCAAAACCCUUUUGCUUUGUGUUAGAGUAGAUGAUUCUUUGAAAUUCCAGAUUAGUUGCUUUUCGGGUUAUUAUUUCUUAUUCAGUUUAUUACGUGUGCUUGAUAAAAGAUCCUUAUGUGUUAAAUUUUCAAUCUUGUCUGUUUAUUGUUGAACAUUGUUAAGUUUAGAUGAAUAAUCUAGCUUGAUGUGCUUGAAUCAUAUGUGUUUAUGAGUUAUACAUUUGUAUGACUAGUGUAAGAUCAAAAUCUAGGGUUAACCGGUAAGUUUGUAAUUUUAAUGUGUAAGUAUACAUGUGAUGACGAUUCAUGUGUACUAGCUUCAUGAUCUUUUAUGUUAAUAAUUCAAGUUUCUCAUAAUACGAACUGUCACACCCCCGGACCAAACGGCAGAAACGUCCGGAGGCGGGUGACUUCAUUGUGCAGUAUCAUAACAAUUGAAUAUACAUGAAACAGAGCAGUCCAAACAUCAUACAUUGAGAUAACAAACUUACAUAGUUUACAUAUUGUAUUUGUUCUUCGAGUUACACAAAAGAUACAUAAGUAGAAAACUUCAACUACAGCUAAAUGAUCUUGCAUCAACGUUCCUUGUUACCUGCUUACUAGAUCCCUGAGAAUACAAGUCGUUUUGAAAAGCGUCAACUAAAAAGUUGGUGAGUUCAUAAACAUUUUUGUAAUAAAAUCAUUUACACUUGUUUAGAAUCGUUCUCAUUGUACUUUAGGAAAAUCCGAUAUUUUCUAUGAAAUCGUUUGAAGUCUUGCCUUAAAAAUCGUGGAUAUAUGUGUGCAUGUCAUGACUUUUGUUCAUCCUUAUAAGGAGUGAUUUUGAAAAUUAGUGUGAUUUGUAAAAGCGAGUUGUGUACGAGAAUAGCUCUUUUGAAUAGUAAUAGUCAACCGUUUCAAGAAAAAUCUCUUAUUUUCAAAAGAAGGAAGUAUGGUUGAAAAUCUUGUUCUUCUUAUGGAGUGAAAUUGAUUGUGCGUUCUAGUUUAUCGUUAUCGAAAUCAUAGAAAAAUAAUUUUCUCCAGAAAAUCCUAUAUUUCCUGCUAUAAAAUAUUCGUAAGUUUUAGUUUAUCGUUAUCGAAAUCGUAGAAAAUCGUUUUCUCCAGAAAAUCCUAUAUUUUCUACUAUAAAAUAUUCAUAAGUUCCAGUUUAUCGUUAUCAAUAUCGUAGAAAAUCGUUUUCCAUAGAGUCCUACGCUUUUUAGUUUGUAAAAUAGCAGUAUUUUGACUCUAUACACGUUAGGAGAAAGAAUCAUGACAAUUGUGGACGUUCUACAUCGUGAAAAGAAAGGACAGUCAAUGCAACAAUGCGGACCAUCACCUAUCGCGUAUAGUACAGUCAACACAACGUGCCAAAGUUUAUUUAUGAGGUUUUCCUUAUAUAAAUUUCUAGUUAAUAUAACAUAUUCUAGUGAGUCAUUAUAACCAUACUAAUCUGACGGAGUGCCUGUUUUGGUGUUUCUCAGGCGUCGUCGGUUUGGAAAAGACAUAUGUCACCCUAGACGGGUUUGUCUAGCUGUAGCGAAUAGCAAAUGUGUGGGGUGUCAACCCCUUAUAGAUCUAUACACAAAUUCCUGCUCUCUCUCCAGGAGACUUUGGCUAUAACUCCUUACAGGACUUAGACGUACACUAAUAUUUUUAUAUUUAGGUACUUUUGAGAUUUGUCUGACUAGAAUAUUAACAACCUUUUGAGCAAUCGUUAGAGAUCCAUUAUUUGUUAGAUAAAUAAUGAAAUUUGUACUCAUUGAAUAGAAAUAUUGUUUUCGUUCCAUAUCGUUGAUUGUGCUCGUUAACUAGGUGCUCGUGUUCGUUCCUUUUCGUUAUUGAAAAACAAGUCAUUUUUGGUUAAGAAAAAAGUGUCAAGUUAUAAUUUGUAUAAAUUUGUAACUGCCGGUUAUGACACACAUUUUCUGUUUUAUGACAUAUAGAACAUUCCUUAUGUUGUUGGAGGUUUUAUGACAACCGUUUAUGACAUGCAAAUAUUUCUGUCAUAAAGGCUCUAUUUGUGUAAUUUCUUGACGCAAACUUUUAUAUUGAAUAUUUAUAAAAUACUUCCUAGUAGUUUGCAAAAUAGUCACAAGGCUCCUAUUUUCAAAAAUCACUAGAAAUGGUGUGCACUUAGUAAGGUCCCUUUUUAUAACUUUUGUCUUUAGACACGAAAACAUAGAUAAAGGGGUUAAGUUAGACACACCCAAUAGUUGGGAGGCUCUUUGGUACAAAGUAUCCUCUAUUCUUUAUGAAAUUUAGAAAUCCUUCGUUCAUGAGUAUAUUACUACAUAAUAAUCUAAUAAUAUUUCACACACACAUACAAACAUACGUAUAUAUGCAAUCAUUUAAGAAUUUAGGCAAGAUUGACUUGUACUCUCCCCUGAAAACAUUAAAACAUUGAAAAAGGUGGGGUACUAAGCUCACCUUAGUUACUUGUUGGGUGAUUUGAAGAGAUGAGGAGGAGUUUCCAAGUUCCAACACUUGGGAGUUCUUUUGAGCUUAGAAAUAUCCUAAGAAUAAUUUUUGUGUAAAUGUAAUGAAAUCUUAGAAUAAUGUGAAGAAUUGUUGUUCAAAGAGGAUAAGAAUACUCACCAAAGAAAUCUGGGAAUUUCCUUUGAAGAGAUGAACUUGAAGCUUGAAGGAGUUGAGAGCACUCUUAGAAGUUUGUUGGAGAUGGAAAUGAUAAGUGGGGAAAAGGAAGAAGAGGAGUUCACGUAUUCUAAGUGGAGGGAUAAGAGUGAUAUGACACUUGCUUGGAGGACCGGUGUACAAGACUUAUAUCCAUGGGUUAAUGUGUGUUUAUUUGGGAUUUGCAUGGGAAAUCAGGAAUUUCAUCAAAUCACAAAGUCAAUCCCUUUUUCAUUUUCUUGAUUUAGGAUAAGGUUUUCCUAAAUCCCAACCAUUUAUUUUUAUGAAGAAUAUGCUUAAAAUAAUUAAUUUUAGCAUAAAAUAGGGAUCUAAGGGGUUUAGGAUAGGAAAAAUACGAGUUUGGUAGAAUUUCCGGUGUCAAAAUGUCUUAAAAUGGUGAAAAAGUCCGAAAAUAAUGAAAAUCCGGAGUGGGGGUUGGUUCCUGCGAGGGUCCGAAGGUCUGAGGGAAGUUCCGGAUUGCUUAGGGAGGAUUCCAGAGUCAAGUCCACACUUCCGGAGCACUUUCUCGGAUUCCGAAGUCAUCUGUUUCAUUUCGGAGCGAAGCUAGCAGUCCGGACCAAGGGUUCCGAAGUCAGCUGAACUUUCCGAAGCGAGACUAGCCUUCCGGAUGAGAGGAUAUUGCGAGAUGGUCCGGAUGAGAGGAUUCUGAGGCAAGAAGGUUCCGAAGCAAGAAGCUUCUUGGUUUCUUAGAAGGUAUCCGGACCAAGAGGGUCCUUUUCGGGCUUCCUCUUCUGGUUUUGAGUUGUUUUCGACUGAGGAGGGUACUUAGGGAGAUUUGAGAGAGAUUUGAGAUACGUGGAGAGAUUUCACAUACUUGGAGAGAUUUGGGAGAGAUUCACUAUUCUUGGAGAGAUUUUGCAUACUUAGAGAGGUUUGGGAGAGAUUUCACAUACUUGGAGAGAUUUGGGAGAGAUUUCACAUACUUGGAGAGAUUUCACAUACUUAGAGAGAUUUGUGAGAGAUUUCACAUACUUGGAGAGAUUUAGGAGAGAUUUCACAUACUUGGAGAGAUUUUGCAUCCUUAGAGAGAUUUGGGAGAGAUUCACUAUACUUGGAAAGAUUUGGGAGAGAUUCGCUAUACUUGGAGAGAUUUGGAUUCUAACACUAUAUGGCUCCUUAGGAACUUAUAUUAAACACUUAGGUGUGUUAGCACAAGCCUCACAAUAGUCCUUGCUUACUUGAGGAUGAAAUUUCCUAGCCAAAAAGGCUAGUUGUGACACGAACUGAAUACUGCUUUUUAGGACAAUUAGUGCACUUGAUCACUGUAACUAAAAGCCUCAAAGAUCAAAGCAUUAGUUGUCUAGACCAGGAAAUUAGUCAUAUUAGGAAUCAAAGAAUAAAGAACAAAUAACUCUUAUAUUAGUAAUUAUCUAUGAUUUGGAGAAGUAAUUUUGUGUAAACCAAAGUACCUAAAGAUAUUCCUUUCUAGUCAGUUUAUCAAGAUUAGUUGUUUAUUUAAUUAAGAUUUUAUAAUCAUAAACCUCCCCCCCCCCACAUACACACACUUACACUUUUAUUUCUUUAGUUUAUAUAUAGUGUAACCUAUAAUAAAAAAUUCCAAAUUAAUUCACUAUCAUUCCCCAAGUGUUAGACAUUUGGUCUUACCACAACUAUAAUAUUGCACAAUUAGGUUCACUGCCUAGUGUGUGUAUUUGUCCGGUUGCGAUAAAAUCAGUUUUAUAAAUUUAAAACUUGAGAAAUUAAUAUAUAUAUAUAUAUAUAUAUAUNNNNNNNNNNNNNNNNNNNNNNNNNNNNNNNNNNNNNNNNNNAUAUAUAUAUAUAUAUAUAUAUCAUACAUCCAGUUUUUGGCGUCGUUGCAGGGGAUCAAACCCGGGUCACAUACAUAGGGAACAAUGCCCAUUUUUUUGAUGAUUUGUUUACUAGGUUGUGUAGGGUGGUUCUUUUGUGUUUAUUUUUACAGGUUAAUGUCUAGAAAAAAAUCAAAUGGGUGAUCAAAAUCAAGCUCUCGAAGAAUUGACUGACCACCAUUUUUUGCAAUUUCCAAGGAACUUGAAUGCAUGAACACCUUCAAGGUAUCAGAGUUGGCUUAGUCAGUUUCGUCAAAAAGAGAUUGACCACCAUCAUUUGACUAGGAAUUGGCUCCAAACUGGAUUGGAUAACCUAAUCUGCGGUUUUUUUGACAUACGCCCACUUGGGCAUAGGUGGCGUGCCUUUGUUUACAUGCCAUGAUUAGAAAAUUUUGUUUAGAGUUCAGGAGCCUAUGUAUAGGGAGUUUUUUCUAGAGUUAUGUGCUACACUCGCUUUUGAUUGUACCAAGUCUGUUGGUGAUAGGACUUCCUUUUUGUAACACCCGGUUCCAGGUACGUAUUUAAUUCCAAGUAUAAUUGUAUUUUACCCUGGGACUCGGCGAAUUGAAGGCCCAACUCUUCGAGUAAAGUCGACUUUUCGCGCGGAUUUUAAGUGACCUACUCGACGAGUCAGGAGACCGACUCGACGAGUAGGAGCUGUCUGGACAAAACCCUAAUAUUUAGGGUUUGCACCCUAUUUGAACACCUUAAGUGGUUCCCUUUGUAGCCUCCAAAUCCCCCCAAACCAUCCCCACGAAACCGUAGCCGUUUUUGAGUGAUUUUGAGCUCUUUGUGCCAUUUUGUGCAAGAUAGAAGGUUAAAGAGAAGAAGAAGGAGCUUGGGAUUUCAGAAGGAGCAAGGAGAUCCAGAGGUUUUGCUUCAUUUCCUGUUUAUUUGAGGUAAAAUGUCCAGACCUUGCUUCUCCUUUCAUUAGAUACUCUUUUGGAGUAAUUUAGGGUUUUUGGAAGCCAUUCUUGGAUUCAACUACGAUUUUGGGAUAAAGACUUCAGAUCUGGAACCAUUGAGGGUUCCCAUGGCAUAAAGGUGCCAACUUUAUGGUCAUGGGAGACCUAUACAUCAUAUAAACUCCUUUUAUGGAUUUUUGAGCCAAAAGCCCCAUGCAUGGACGUCAAGUUUGUAGCUUUACGUGAAAAAGGGACCCUAGGAAGCCAUAUCUAUAGUUUUGAUGCGUUAAGACCCACAAUAAUCGACUGUAUAGUUUUAGACAAAGAAGGACUCGGGGAGUCACUUAGGUGACUCGGUGAGUCUGGUCGCUUUCCCCCCAAAACGUCUUCUGGAAAUGGUUUUGGUUGAGUGGUAGGAACACUCAGCCUGCUAGGGGUUUGUUUUGGACCUGGAAAUCAUAAGACUUGGUGAUUGUAUGAACAGACUCGGCGAGUCCAAGGCAAUGUCCCAACCUCAUGAAGACGGACUUGACGAGUUCAUCGAGAACUCGGCAAGUCAGAUGUUAGACUCAUUCAUUCGGAUGAAGAUGAACUCGGCGAGUGAGUUGAAGAUAGUCAAAAGGUGUGGUUGAAGGUGAACUCGUUGAGCUCUUGCUAGACUCGAAGAGUAAGGACGAGAUUAUGACAGUAAGGGGACGAGGGGACUCGACGAGUUGGUGGACCAACUCGGCGAGUCGAGUCAAUUAGAAGUUGACUUUGACCAGGAUUUGACGUUGACUUUGACUUGGUUUUGGGUUUACCCUUGUAAGGGUUAUGAGUAUGUAAUAGUAAUCGAGAAAGGUCGUUGUGUAGGGAUUGAGGAGUAGAGACGAGUUGGUUUCAGUGUAGAGUACUAUGCAGAUACUACACUACAUCGAGGUGAGUUACCUUCCAGUAGGAAUAGGUCUAAGGCCACAAUGUCGGCCCAUCAUUUGGAGUUGCUUGAUAGAUGAAUGUAUUUGUGAUAAUUAUCUAGGUUUACUAUUAUUUGUUAUGUUUUAUGUGCUAGCAUGAUAUGACAUUAUGUGAUAGUAGUAGUAAGGGGGAAAAGUCCUCGGCUACCGGUUGAUAGGGCCAAAGGGGUAGCCUAGUAUCCAACUAUGAUAGACAAUAUGUUUAUGUUAUGUUAUGUUAUGUUAUUACGUGGUAGCGGUAGGGGUGAAAUAGUCCCCGUAACCAAUUGAGAUACACCGGAGGGUAGGUCGUGCACCCAGAUAUGCCUGACAGGGUAGGCCGGGCACCCAAAUAUGCCUGGCAGUAUGUGAUUUGUAUAGUAUGUGGUAGGAAUGAGAAUUUUGCCUGAAAACCCGAACCGAACUGAACCGAACCGAACCGAAUUAGACCCGAAUAACCAAUUCGAUUCGGUUUUCGGGUAUCUAUAUUAGGCUUAUUCGGUUUUCGGGUUAUUCGGUCCGGGUUACCCGAAUAAGGGCUUAUUCGGUCCAAAAGGACCGAACCGAAUAUGAAAAGUCGCAUUUUUUUCCUAACACGAUUGCUUAUUCGGUCUUCUUUUCUAUCAAUUCUUACCCAACAAAACCCACGUAAUACACAAAAAAAAAUCAACGAAAUCGAAUUUCAUCAUUCGUAUUACACCAAAUCGACAGUAGCGUAUUACACCAAAUCAACGAGUCGACGACAUUACUCUUUGAUCGAAUAAGGUUUUUCUCAUCCUUGCGACAUUACUCUUUGAUCGACAGUUGCGGCUGCUACCCUUGCGACUUGCGAUAACUUGGACUUAUUGAUCGAUCAUCACUAGUUCAAAGUUCAAACUUCAAAGUCCAUUCACGAUAAGAAAAAAAAACGUCGGCCCUUGCGUCUGGAAAAAAUAAUCGUCUCCUAAUCCUUGUUUUCUAGUUUAUACUGUGAUGAAAUUUUGAAAGACGAUGAGGUCGCGAAAGCUUUAGAAGAGGUGAUAAAGAACGGAGAUGGAAAGGGAAAAUAGCAAAUUAAUAUUCCCGAAUAGUUAAUUCGUGUUUGAAAAAUGUUAUUUUGGAUAUGGAUAAAAACUUAAGAUUCAUAUUUUAAUUUGGGUGUUGAAUGUUUAAUGUUUAACUUAUAUACUUAUAGAUAGAUUUUUGGGUGUUUUGGAUGUUUAAUUUUUAGUGUUUAAUUUGUUUCUUUAAAAGAUUAGUUAUGAAAUCAUAAGCUACAAAAGUCAUACAAAAUACAAUAUUUAUAAUCGCAUUGUAAAUGUUAUUUGUAAAUGUUAUUUGGGUUAUUCGGCUCCUUAAUCAUCUUGUACAUAUUAUUUGGGUUAUUCGGGCCGGAACCGAACCGAACCGAAUAAUACCUGAACCGAAGCGAACCCGUAUUGCUUAUUUGGUUUGGUUUUCCGUUCAUACAAUUACCCUUAUUCGGUUUUCGGUUUAUUUGGGUUCGGUUCGGUUCGGUUCUGAACUGAAUAACAUCCCUAGUAUGUGGUAUGAUGGGGGAAACUCACUAUGCUUCGUGCUUACAGUUUUCAGUUUUGUUUCAGGUACCUCUUCAGCAAGGGGAAAGGAGCCGGUGUAGUAGCGGCAUAUCACANUCGGCGCGGUAGCUGCACAUCACACACACACACAUCAGAUUUCCGCACUAUGUGAUUCAUGGGAUUGUACUAUGAUUUUAUUACUGAUCGAUGUUUUGAUUUUGAGACAUGUUCAUGAUGAUUUAUGGAUUGAUAUGAUAUCGACAAUGUUUUCCGUAAAUGAUUUUAUAAACUACUUAAUUAAAAACGAAAUUUUUGGACUUGAAAUUUGGGAUGUUACAAUUUUCUUUUAAACUUGGUGGAGUUAGUAUAGAAUGUAGCACGAUUGAUUUUGCUACUAGAGUGGGGAUUUACAUUGUGGACGAGACGAGGAUCAUCCACUUCCAGGAGUUUCUUACAUCUUGUAUUACAUUACCGCCUGAUGAUUACAGUGAAAGUGAUUUUUGGGCUAAGCAUGUGUCAUCGAUUGCAUGAGGCAAUAUGAUUCGCUUGAUUACUUAUCGAUUAUUGCACUAGUUGAUUUCUAGCUCUCUCACAUAUCAUAAGAAGAGAGGGUACCUUCGAAGUAUCUAUUUUUAUGGACAUUUAUCACUCUAGGGAGGUACCUGAACCUCCUAGUUGUUGUAGCUAUAUAUUUGGCGUGAAAGGCUAGGGGGCUUGAUGAGUAUAGCCCAAUUUGUGGUGGGCAUUUCGUUACUAUAUUGGCUCGAUCUUACUCCUUAUUGAUGAGAGAGAUUACGAGGAUGAUGGUACAUUAGGAUGUGAGGUUGAUGAGUUUAAAAUUUUUAGAGGCGUUGAGGUUUAUAUUACGUAGUGAUGAUGGCAUCUUGAGGAUUUGACCCGAUGACGCGGUACUAGAGGAGGUUGCAACAACACCUGAGCCACAGAGACUUGGGAGGCAUAUGCAUGCUCCUAUAGGAAUGCAACAAGACCAAUGCAUGAGAUUGAUAUCUAUUACAUUGCUCAGUGGAUGGACAACCGUAUACAUGUGAUCGAGGCUAGACAACAGUGGUUUGGAGAUGCAUGAACUGGAUUCUUUUCCUAUUAGGGUUAUCAUCACCCGUUCCCUUUUCCUACACCAUACCGAUAGUCGGGUAAUGGAGUCGGCCCAUCAGGGACACACCAACAUGAUGACAAGUAACUACGGUUAUCCAUUUUAGUUUUAUUUUGUGUUUAUUAUACCUAGUAUUUUAGUAUUUUAUUUUGAUAUGUUUAUUUUUCGUCUGUUUAAAUUAGGAUGUUAUGUUUUAUUUUUAGUUUAUGUAAUUUUCUUUAGUUUUCUAUGUUGAUGCUCUUUAAUGUUUUAGAUUUUUGUAGAAUUUUCGCCCUUUUAAUGUUGGCAGUAAGUUCAACCACUAGGACAGUGUGCGAUUUUGUCAUGAGAAAUAUUUCAUGAGAGGCAUUGCAUCACAUAAGUGUGGGUUCACUUACCCACACAAGAGCGGGAACAUGGCUUUAUUGAAAGUCAUUACAUAUACGAGAGAAGAGACAAAUGUUUGGCCGACACAAAUCUACUUCUUUUUAUUUACUGUUCCGAGAUCUUUAUAUUUUCUAUUAUAUGGUGUUUUCGUCAACCGCUUCGCGCACCGUGUCCUGAUUUGAGAAGUAAAAAAAAGGGCAGCAAGUUCGGUUUUUAGUUUUUCAGUAAAUUUUGGAGCAACAUUAUUCUUAAAGCAACCUACUAUCAUUUCGAUAUCGCCACUACUACCCUAUGGGAGUUUGUUCCUUUUUCUCCCUUUAGCUUCUAUAUGCUUUAAUUGUUUAUGCAUACAAUGAGGAAAUUGUAUAAAAUAAGUGUUGGGUAGGGGUUCAAAUAUAGGAACACAAGCAUGAUGAUUUAAGAACAAAUGGCUAGGAUUUAAAAAACAUGAGAGUAUAAAGACUUGAAAUAUUGGACUAAUUUUGAAAUCUAGUUAAUAAACAUAACCUUGUGUAGUUUGACGGACAUAAUAAGUUUAGCAUCGUGUACCAGAAAUAUAUCCAGGAAUGCUUAUAUAGUCAUUGCACCUUAGACUAAUGUCUUUAAUCAAUAAGGGCUGAAGUUAAUCUCCCUUGCUUAAGCAUAUAUUUUUCGUUUUAGGGUUUUAGUUUUGAGUGAGUAACAAAAAAGAGAAAUGAUAAGUGAAUAAAAGCUUACAAAGUCUAAAGAUUUGAAGAUUAAAGAUAUUGAGGAAUGAAGCGAAAUUGCUAAAAGUCACAUUAGUAUUUUAUUUUAUUGUAAUUUUUCUUUUUAAGUUAUUUUUCUAUAUGUAUACUUCGAGGAUUAUUAAAAAAUUACCUUGAGGUUAAGAAAGAUUUAUUUGGAUGGAUGCAUAAAAUUAAUGUCGUUCAAAAUAAAUGGUAAGUGUUUAUGAGGAAUGUGAGUAUUUAGGAAUGAGAAGUACUGAGGAAUCAUUAGACACACAUACAUGGUUUGCAGUUCCAGUGUAAUAGAUGAGUUCAAAAUGGAUUGUCUUGUGCGAUGUUGGUAGCUAAGGUUUUGAUGUGAUAUUAUGAUAAUCAUAAAAUCAAUUUUGCUCAAGGGCAAGCAAAAGACUAGUGUGGAGUAGUUUGAUAACGCCUAUUUUAUACAUAUAUUUUCGGUGUUUUCUUAUUAUUGCAUACUAUGUUUUGUUAUUAUUUGGAACAAAAGUUACUUAUAAUACAUUGAAUUAAUAUUUUACAUAUAUAAUAUAUUAAUAGAGCGAAAAGGAAGCAAAAAAGAUUGGAAAACGGAGUUGGAAUGCAAAAAUAAGGAUUAAUGCUGAAAUAUGUUUUCACGCCCUGCGUAAUCUUGCUACGCCAUGCGUAGCUGGUCCUACUGAACACAUGCAUUUAAUGAUCAACGCCCUUCAUAGUUAGAGUUACACCCCGCAUAAUACAUCAGCACAAAUUUGUAUAAAUAGCCAUUUAUCUCUAACCUAAGGGGAGAUUCAGAUUUCUAAUCAUCCUUGGUCAACAUGUAACACCUAUAUCUGCCGUUUUGAGGGUCUAGAAGGUGGCCGGAAGGUCGUUAACCUGAUAGGAGCAAAAAUUUAAAGGAUUAGAGAGCAGAUUCAUGCCUGAAAUCAUUUGGUUUGUUGUCCCGACCACGAUUAGCAUACCAAUAUGAUUAUGUAUGUGUUUACUUUCUGAUUUAGGUAUUCAUAACCCUUUUGUUUUGUGUUAGACUAGAUGAUUCUUUGAAAUUACGGAUUAAUUUCUUUUCGGGUUAUUAUUUCUUAUUCAGUUUAUUAUGUUUGCUUCAUAAAAGCUCAUUAUGUGUUAAAGUUUCAGUCUUUUUCGUUUAUUGUUGAGCAUUGUUAGGUUUAGAUGAACAAUCUAGCUUGAUGUGCUUUCAUUAUAUGAGUUUAUGAGUAAUAAAUUUGCAUGGCCGGUGUUAGAUCAAAACAUAUGGUUAAAUAGUAAGUUUGUAAUUUCAAUAUGUAAGUAUACAUGUGAUGACCAUUCAUAUGUACUAGCUUCAUGAUCUUUGAUGUUAAGAAUUCAAGUGUCUCGUAAUACGAACUGAAUACUGAUUUAUAGGAUAAUUAAUGCACAUGAUCACUAUAACUAAAAGUCUCAAAGUUCAAAGGAUUAGUUAUCUAGACCAAGAAACUAGUCAGAUUAGGAAUCAGUGAAUAAAAAAUAAAUAACUUUUAUAUUAGUAAUUAUCUAUGAUUUUGAGAAGUAAUUUUCUAUAAACCAAAGUACCUAAAUAGAAUCGUUUUCAGUCAGUUUAUCGAGAUAAGUUGUUUAUUUAAUUGAGAUUUUAGAAUCAUACCCCCCCAACUUCUAUUUCUUUAUGUUAUUUAGUGUAACCUAUAAUAAAAAAUUCCAAAUUAAUUCACUAUCGUUCCUCAAAUAUUCGACACCUGGUCUUACCACAACUAUACCAUUGCACAACUAGGUUCACUGCCUAAUGUGUGUAUUAAUCCGAUUGCGAUAAAAUCAACUUUUUUAAAUUUAAAACUUGAGCAAUUAAUAUAUAUAUAUAUAUAUANNNNNNNNNNNNNNNNNNNNNNNNNNNNNNNNNNNNNNNNUAAAACUUCAAAUUACAUUUAUAUCCUUAUAAAACCUAUAAUCACACAUAUAUACCCAAAUAAUUAAUUUAAUCAUAUUUAAUAUAUUAAAAAUAAUAAAAACGAUAUCUUUAAGUUGAUUUUUAUUAUUAAGAAAAAUAAUUAACUUGUAGCAUUAUAAUAUUACCCUUCUUUCACAUUGCUAUUCUCGACCUAUUUACUUUAUGAACUUUUAAAAAAUAUUGACACCCACAUUGAACUUAGUUUAUUUGUGAUUUUAUCUUUAACUAAGAACCAGAGGAAGAAAAAAAAUUGUUUAGAAGAGAAUAAUCUUAGGUCUCUUAAAUCAAUUGUAGGAGAUGGAAACUGUUGAUUAGUAAUCAAUUAGGAAUAUACAAUCAUCAGGUUUUACUAAUCAAUUAUGCAAAAUAUGAAGCGGAAAAAAAAUCAAGCCAUAAGUAACGAUAUCGCGAAUAAGGACAUCAAUUAUGGGAGGGAUUGCAAAUGAGUAUUUUAGUAACUUUGUUAUGAUAUAGCUUAAAUAUAAUGUUUUUUAUUUUUAAAUAUGUUAAUUAUCAUUUAAUUAAGUAUUUGGGUAUAUAUGUGAGUUUAUACGUUUAUAAGGAUAUAUAUAUUGUGAAGUUUUACAAAGAUAUAAAUGCAAUUAUGCAUGUGUAUAAAGAUAACGAAGAAGUUUUCCUUAAAAAAUAUAUUUUAUUUGAGUUUGUCUGCGUUUCGAUAUAAUUUUUUCUAGGUUUUUGUGGUUAAUUUAAUAUAUGUUUCGUACUUAUGAGUCGGGUCACAUAUAACAUUUUUCGUUCGUUAACUAAAAAAACUAAUUUUUAUGUGCUUAUUUUUAUGUAUGUAUCGGUAUAAAUUAAAUAUGAUCAACAUUUUAAUGUAAAUUUAGAACUUUUGUUCAUUAAUUUUAUAAAAAACUUACUUGUUUUUUUUAUGUACGUAUUAAUAUAAAUUUGAGUUCGUCUACAUUUCAACAUAAUUUUUUUUAUAUGUGGAUGCUUAUUUUUAUGUACGUGCUAAUUUUUUUCGUUCAUGCUUAGUAUUUUACGUACCAAGUAUUGACAAUUGUAUUGAUAAAAGUUAAGUUGAAACGUAAAAAAUAAGCAUGAACAAAAAUAACGAAGCUAUGGGUUAUAACAUUGGGUAUACAUGUUAUAGAAGCAAAGAUGAUUUCCGAAAGUAAUAUAGGAAACCGUAUGUUUGGUCCAGGAAAAUAUUUGACGCCUUUGGAUGAAAAGAUUCCUUUCACAUUUCAAUUAAAACAAUAUUCACUGUAUGUUUUGCGAUGACAAUAAACAAGAGCUAAGGACAGUCAUUAUCGAAUGUGAGACAACCAAUGUUCACUCAUGGCAAUGUAUGUUGCACCAUCUAUAGUUAAAAACUGAGAUGGAUUAAAAAUAUUAAUUUUAGACAAUGACGGUAACUUAGCAAUAUGGUAUCUAAUGUUAUAUUCAAAGAAUUUUCUGAAAAUUUGUAAUUCAUAACAAUUAUUUACAAUAUGGCACUGGUUUUUUUUUUGUUAGUAUAGAUUCAAUUAUCCAUUUAUUCAUGAUUUUUUUGUAUUUAUUUUGAAUUGUUUUUAAAAUUUUUUAAUUUUUACAUCUUGAUAUUCAACACAAUUAUUUAUAACAUGUGAAUAGUUUUUAUUAGUAUUGAUUGAAUUACUUACUUAUUCAUGAAUUAUUUUGUUAUUUAUAUCAAAAUUUUAUUUAAAUUUUUUUUAGUGUUUACACCUUAUAUUUAACUUUUUUUUAAUUAAUCUGCGUUGUANNNNNNNNNNNNNNNNNNNNNNNNNNNNNNNNNNNNNNNNNNNNNNNNNNNNNNNNNNNNNNNNNNNNNNNNNNNNNNNNNNNNNNNNNNNNNNNNNUUUUAUCAAGGUGUGCGUCAAGUUCAAUCAUUGGAGCCAUGACGAGCUGUUUAUAACCAUGAUAAUAAUCAAAUUAUUCACUAAUUGGAUAAAACCGAAUUAUCCAAUUGAACAAUUUGGUUCGGAUAAUCAGAUUUGGUUUUCAGCAAAAUUAAAUUAUUACUCUGGAUUUCAGAUUGGAUUUGGUUUAUAAAUUAAGAUUGAAUAAUCCAAAAGACCGAAUAAUAUUUAUUUAUUUAUCUAUUUAUAUUAUUUACUUUUAAUGUAAAGUAGUAUAACUUUUCUUAUUAGUUGUUUACAAAUUUUUAAUUGUUUUUAUUUCUUUUUGGCAAAUUAUCAAGUUUUCUAUAUCUUUUUAAAGGUCCCCGAUCUUGAAAAUAGUAAAAUCCGAUCCCACCGAAUAGUAAUUUGGUUGAUUUGGAUCAAAAUUUAAUUUGAACUAUUUGAUAUUAUGUUUUGAAAACUAAAACAAAUUUGAAAUCAUUUGAUUGGAUUGGACCAAGUAUAGCCGCCCAAUCAAACGUCCCUUAUAAUUAGGGGUGUUAUUGGUUAGGUUUUUUUGGUUUUCAGUUAAAUCGUUUCGAUUUAUUAGUUUUCUUUAUAUUUUAAGUCUAACCAUAAUCAAACCAAACAAGGUCCGGUUUAAUUGAUUUUGGUUCAUUUGGUUACGGUUUAUUCGAUUCGGUGUUCCGGUUAAACCGAAUAAAAUGUCGCACAUAUAAAUAAAUAUUAAACAAAAAAAAGAACUUACUAAACUAUUACCAAAUAAGGAAAACUAGGGUUUGACCGUCCACGCGAUGCUGCGGAAGUCCCAAUAUGUUAAAAAAUGCAGAUCGACACUAUACAUACCACAGAGAUGAUUAAACCAUAUAAAGUGGAGCACAAAAAUAUAAAAAUAAAACUUGGAUACCAAUAUUUAUGUACGGAGGAGGCCGACGAAAAUGAGACUUAAAAUUGUAUCAUAAAGAAAUUGAUAAAAAAAAAGAUUAUUAAAAAAAUAUGUAAGGGGUUAAAGUGUAACUUUAAAAUAUAAUAGGGGAUCAAAUCAUAAUGUAUAAAAUACCAAUAAUUUAACUUUAAAAUUAUGAGGGAUGAAAAGUUUUAAAUAAAAAUUAAUUGAGGGGAAAAGAUUAUAAAUAUGAAAAUUUUCUAUGACCAGAACCUAAAUUGUUAUUUCCAGAAAACUAUUGUUUUUCAUUUAAUAAUGAAUGGUUGACAGUAUACAACAUGAUUUGGUUUUAGUAAACUUGGAUUUGGAAAUAGAAAAAAGAAAUAUAAAUCGUGGCAAAAUCAUAGACAAAGAAAAUGACACCGCAGCACAAUCCACGGAUAAAAAUAAAAGUUGAAAUGAAUAGUGAUACUCCUCACAAACCCAUUUUGGUAAUAUAUAUAUAUAUAUAUAUAUNNNNNNNNUAACAUAUUCAAUCAUUCAUGAUGUACCGUCUUGAAGAGCCAAUAAAGACACACAACUUUUAAAGAUAGGUUAACAUAACUUUACUUAUAUACUAGGCGAAUGUCUGCGCGUUGCGUAGAAAGACCUAUAUAGUUGAAAUUUUUACAAAUAUAUAAAAUGUUGUUAUAAAAUUUGAUAUAAUAAUUCGCAUACUAAAUUGAAAUAAUAUACUGAUUAUUUUGAAUUACAUGAUAGUAUAUACAUUUAUUAUAACUGCAUAAUAUUAAUCGUUUAAAUGAGUUCUAACCGCGAAUUACUUAUGAAUAAAACUAAAUAUAAUAUAUGGUUUAAUGUUAUUUAUAGUUGUUGUUAUUGUUAAUUAAUUUUUUAAAAUUCAUUUGUUUAACGUUUUAAUUUCUAUCAUUGUAAUUAUUAAAACAUCAAACAUUGUUUUUUUUUAUUUUAAAGGUUAUAAUCAUUUAUAUAGACUUAUUUAUAACUAUUGUUAUUGUCAGUUAUUCUAAGCUACUUAUUUGAAAAUUUUUAAUGAUUAUAAAAAUAUCUUUAAGAAAUAUUUUAGUUAAAUUAAGAUUACAAUUUACUUUUUGUAUUUAACACUACAAUUUAUCACUUUUAACUAUUCACAAAAUAUUCAUUGGGUUAUUAAGUGGAACUGAAAUUUAUAUUUAAGUUGACACUGUAAUGUUAUAUUAAAAUUAACAAUUUAAGUAUUUUGUCUAAACUGUUCAAAAUUUAUAUCUUUAAACUGAUAAUGGUUUACAUACAACAACAUAUUAAAUCUAAUAAAUUAAGUAUAAUAUGUUAAAAGUUAACGUCAUAACUUUAUAAGUAGAACUAAAGAUAUUAUUUUAAUAUUGAAAUUUAGUUUAUUUAUGGUACACUUUAGACUUGAUAUUUAUUUAACCUUAUUAACCAAAUUAUAAUCAUUAUUAGAAACACCGUACAAUUUAUCACUUUUAACUAUUUACAAAAUAUUCUUUGGGUUGUUUAAGUUAAACUAAAAUUNAGUAUUUUAUACAAAUUGUUCAAAAGUUGUAGCUUUAAAAUGAUAAUGGUUUACAUCCAACAAUAUAAUAAAAUUAAUAACUUAAGUCACUACUAGAAAAACAGCCUUUUACGACGCGUCGUAAAAGGCUCAGACGACGCGCAAAUGCGCGUCAAGAAAGACCCUGUCAUAAAGAGAAACGACGCGCUUUUACGCGUCGUCUAUAGAUGACGCGCAGUUACGACACGCGUUUACGACACGCAAUGCGUAUCAAGGAAAGCCCUGUCAUAAAGGAAGACGACACGCAUUCGCGUGUCGUAACCUUACGACGCGCGUGUUAAUGACUCGCAAUGCGUAUCAAGAAAGCCCUGUCAAGAAAGGCCAUGUCAUAAAUGAAGAUGACACACAUUUUUGCAUAUCAUAAUUUUAAAUGUUAAAAUUUUUUUUAAUAGAUUUACUAAGUUUCAAAUUAAAUUUGCAUUUAAUGUCUCAUAAUAGAAAAUAAAAUAUCAUAUAUAAAAAAUAUAAUCCAUUUCAUAAUAUUUAAUGUAAAAAGAAGGGAUUACCUUACUUUUAUUGACAUGAAUUGUGGAUGUAACAUUUAAAAACCGAUUUAAUAAAAGUGUAUAUUUUUUUAAAUAAAAGAAAAAUGAAAACACUUAAUAAGACACCAUCGUUAUAGUGUAGGCGCCAUGGCAGAUAUGCAGAUCUGGACAUCGGGACCCUCCCUCUAUCUGUCCACUCACCCCAAAGUAGUUAUACCCUUAGUCCAAAUACUCCUACUAAUGACCUCCUGUUUCAUACCCCUCUUUUUGCAGUUAUUUUAUUUGUUUUUAGAUAUAUUAAAGUUUGAAUAAUUAUCGUUAUAUAAAAUAUGACUACUCAAUACAAACACAAAGGAAUUAGAGAAGGAAAAGAAUCUACUACACAAUGCUUAUAUAUCCAAAUUUUUAUUAGGUAUUAAUAUCAUGAUCAAUUACAUUGUUCGAACUAUAUACAUACAUAUGGUUAUCAUUUUGACCUUUAACUAAAUUGCAUCUCAAAUGGUUAAAUCUUUUUUUUUUCUUGUGUCCCCCCUUCUUAACUGAUAGCAAUCUCCUCAGUCAGGGUCUCUAAUAUUUUUAUAAAAACUAAAAAAUAUAGAAAGUAUUAUAGAUAUGAAAUAAUGAGUGAGCCAGGUUAGAUUUUAGGAGAGUAUAAUUUAAAGGAAGUAACUAGUACCUAAGUUGCAUUUGAUUCUCUAAUAGUAGUCGUCAAUCCAUGCAUGCUUUAGGGAAAACUUCAUCAGUUUGAGUACCCCACCACACAACUAACAUAGGGAGGAGGUAUGUGCAUCAUUUGGAUUUCCUCAUAACUGAAAUGAUAAACAAAAUUGUUAAUAUAAAGUGUUCAAAACCUUAAAACAAGGGCCUACUUUAUAAACCUGAAGGAAAUAAUUUUCUUAUAGAAGUUUAUACUAUUGAUGGAGCUACAAUUAUCAGAUGACAGGUGGAAACUUCAAGGUUGAUGAUGGUGGUGUGCAAGAUGACUGGUAGUGUUCAGAGACUAUUUGACCCAAAACAAGAUUCUGAAAGUGUUACCUUGUCAACAUGUUGACUUUGUGAAUUAAAUAAGAAAGUGUUACCUUGUCAACAUGUAAAAGUUUGUUUAAGUAUAUUUACAAAUUUUUAUUAAGUAAUAGGCUGAAGGAUUCUUGAGGUUGAAUUCUUUCUGUUGAGCUAACUGUCAAGCAACACUAUGAUAAAAGAAAUAAAGCCCUGCUAUCAUAAGAGCUGGGAUGAAGGCUGCAAAGAUGUAUGCAGGGGGGGGGGGACUUCUACGUUUUCCUCCUCUGGACAAAUUUUAUUGUUUGCUCCUAAAAGCUCCUACAAGUACAUAAUUUGGGAAUUGAAUCUUACACUUUGAUACGCUCUCACUAAAACAGGAUUCUGAUUCAUGAUACAAAUCAGAAUCUUGGCAAAACGGUGUGUAUAUAAUAUAGUAAAUGAAGGAUCAGGAAGCAUGGUGAGAGGUCUAAUGUAAAAGGAGCAUCUAUCUGAAUAUACUUUUAUAGAUUUUUUUUGGAAAACUAGUUGCAAGUAGGAAAGAAGGAAGCAUUACUUCAGUUGUUUCAUAGGGUGUAAAAAUGAUCCUUAAGUUUGAUUGGGAUCUGGAGACAUCAGCAGGGCAUGCAGACCACGCUAGCCUCAGAAGAAAUAGUGCGUCCAAUGCAGCUUCUUAUGUUGCUUCUGAGCCGGUUUUGAGUGAUGUCACCAAAUGUGGGAUGCUUAAUGUUGCGGGUUUUGAGUGAUGUCAACAAAUGUGCGUUUAGGGCUUUUAAAUAUUCCUCAUGGACUGUUCCUGUUGCCCAUAAAUCUUUUUCGAUAGCAGCUGCAAUAAGAGAUGAAAGAUCAGCGGAAAGAGAUAAAUUAAAGGCAAUAUAGCAUUGUACUUUCAAUUUUUACUUAUUAAGAUUUACCGAUUAUAGCUCUAACAGUCUCACUAGAUGCAUAUUCUUGGAUGGUAUUGUUGGAAAAAAGAAGCUUAAUAAACAUUGUAGCCUGAAUCGAUGUAUCCAUAUCACCCGAACCAAUCAAAUCAAGCACAACCUGAACCCCUCCUCUGUGAGAGGACCUGAACUAAAAAAAAGAGCAUCAGUAGACAAGAAAAUUACAAGAAUAACCUUGUUCUAGUUAAAAAUACAAACCUUGAAGGGUAAAAAAUAAUGGUAUAAUAAGUCCCUGAUGCCAAAUUUAUCUAAGAAACAUGUAUUCAUAACAUAAGCGCCAAAUUGAUCUAACAAAAAUGUGAAUUCAAACUGUUUGCUAGCUGAUACAUAAGUCCCUAAUGUCCACAUAAUUGGUAUAAUAUGUGGGAAGUUCUUUUCUUCGAAAAGAAGCCAAGAAAGAAAUAUACAAUCCAAAAUGCUGGAAUCGUUCUUAGAAGAGUUUGGGAAAUUAUGAACUUACAUAUUGGUUCAAAAAAGGCAAAAAAAAACCUCAUUCUUAUACGAUAUAGCUGCCCUUGUACCUAAAAUAACAUCAAAAUAAAAAGUAUGAAAUAAGGUAAAAUGCAUAUCACAAUCAAUCUAAAGUCUAAACGCACAUGUAGUUAGAAAGAAGGUAAAAUGCAUAUCUAAACCUCAUUCUGAUACGAUAUAGCUGCCCUUGUACCGACUCAGAUCUUCUCUUCGCUCAGAAGAGCCAAUCACAGAUUAACACACCAGGUGAAGAAAUCCAGUUUGUUCACUUUUCUUCUUCUUCUAUCUUCUAUUUUUCCUCUUCCGAUCACUCUGACAAAUUCACAGUUGUUUAGCUACAAACAAGAAUCGCGUCGACGCUUGUUCAGAAAACAUUACGAAACAAACAAACAAACAAACCCUAGAGAAAUGGAAAUUAAAAGGGGGGAAAUCGAAUAACAUGAGUAAAGACUUUGUUGAGACAAACGUGAAACAAGAAAUGUGGGGAGCAGAAAACCCUAAAAAAAAGGGGGUGAAUGAAUUAACUGGAGAUCGAUUAACAUCUAGAAAGAGAACAUUAGCUAAUAAAACCACCGAAGCCUUGUUAUAUGAGGAACUUGGAAUGAUUGAAACAGAAGAGGGUAGUGAUGCAUAAAAGAAAAUCCCCAAAUUUAAUAGUAAAUAUGCAUCCAAUCGGACGAACUGAUACAUCAUCGGAAUCACCAGAAGCGUUAUCCAAAAACUCAUACCCAACAUUUUAGUUAACUAUCGAUCUAAAUCAAAAUGGAAGAGAAUGUUGCUUAAUUUUUGAUUGAUAACUUUAAAGAAGAAGAAGAAGAGGACGAAGGCCCUAGGGCUUUUUCUUGCUAAUUGGGAGAGGCGGGGGGGGGGGGGGGGGGGUGGGUGGUNGAUUCAAUAGGCGGGUGAAAUCCCUCCUUAAAAACGCGUGUUUCAUUAAAAUUUUAUAAAGCGACACAUUUAGACGACACACAUUUUAUGAAAGGCGCCCUCCGCAUUUCAUUUUUUUCCGUUCUGACACUAAUUUUAGGGGCACGCACAAAUGCGUGUCCUCUAUCCUUCAAAUUUUGCAAAACUGACAUUAUUUUUUAGGGCACGCAUGAAUGUGCGUCCUCUAUCAGCGAGUGUCAUUGUUUGCGCGUCAUUAAAGGGCCUUUUUCUAGUAGUGAGUAUAAUAUGUUAAAGUUAAAAAACAUAAAUUUAUAAAUAGAAGUAAAGAUAUUUUUUUAAUAUUUUCAAUAUUUGUAGCUUUAAACUGAUAAUAGUUUACAUACAACAACAUAUUAAAUCUAAUUAAUUAAGUAUAAUAUGUUAAAAGUUAAUGUCAUAACUUUAUAAGUAGAACUAAAGAUAUUAUUUUAAUAUUGAAAUUUAGUUUAUUUAUGGUUACACUUUAGGUUUGAUAUUUAUUUAACCUUAUUAACCAAAUUAUAAUCAUUAUUAGAAAGACACUACGAUUUAUCACUUUUAACUAUUUACAAAAUAUUCUUUGGGUUGUUUAAGUUAAACUAAUAUUUAUANAAUGAUAAUAGUUUAAAUCCAACAAUAUAAUAAAAUUAAUAAAUUAAGUAUAAUAUGUUAAAAGUUAAAAAAUACAUAAAUUUAUAAGUAGAAGUAAAGAUAUUUUUUAAUAUUGAAAUUUUGUUUAUAUAUGAUUACACUUUAAGUUUGAUGUUUAUUUAACCUUAUUAAUCAACAUAUAAUCAUUAUCAGAAGAAAUUGAAAAGUCAUGGGAGUUUCAAAUGAAUGUGGGGAAAGAAAAAAUAAAUGGGAGUUUCAAAUGAGUGUGGUGAAAGGAAAAAUGUUUCAUUAUAAGUAUAUUAGGCGAAUGUUCGUGCGUUGCGCAUAAACACCUAUAUAGUUUAAGUCUUUACAAAUAUAUGUUUUUUUUAAUAUAACAAUAACGUUGUUGUUAAAUUUGAUAUAAUAAUUCGUAUACUAAAUUGAUAUAAUAUAUGGUUUAAUGUUAUUUAUAGUUGUUGUUCUUGUUAAUUAAUUUGUUUUAAUUUAUUUUUUUAAUGUUUUAUUUCUAUCAUUAUAAUUAUUUAAAACAUCAAACAUUAUUUUUUGAUUUUAAAGGUAAAAAUAUAAUCAUUUAUACAGAGUUAUUUUUAAUUAUUGUUAUUGUAAGUUAUUUUAAGCUACUUAUUUGAAAACUUGUAACGAUUAUAAAAAUAUCGUUAGAAAAUAUUUUAGUUAAAUUGAUAUUACAAUUUACUUUUUGCAUUUAUCACUACAAUUUAUCACUUAUUUACAAAAUAUUUUUUGGUUUUUUAAGUGGAACUAAAAUUUAUAUUUAAAUUGACAUUGUAAUGCACAAAAACACAUAUAUAGUUGAAGUCUUUACAAAUAUAUGUUUUUUUUUUAAAUAUAACAAUAAUGUUGUUGUUAAAUUUGAUAUAAUAUUUCAUAUACUAAAUUGAUAUAAUAUAUUGAUUAUUUUGAAUUAUAUGUUAAUAUAUACAUCUUUUAUAACUUGAUAAUCUCAAUAGUUUGAAUGACUUAUAUCCGCGAAUUACUCAUGAAUAAAAUUAAAUAUAAUAUAUGAUUUAAGGUUAUUUAUAGUUGUUGUUAUGGUUAGUUAAUUUUUUAAAAUUUAUUUGCUUAAUGUUUUAAUUUCUAUCAUUAUAAAUAUUUAGAAAAAUCAAACAUUAUUUUUUAUUUUAAAAGUAACAAUAUAAUCAUUUAUAUAGAGUUACUUUUAACUAUUGUUAUUGUAAGUUAUUUUAUGUUACUUAUUUGAAAACUUUUAAUAAUUAUAAAAAUAUCUUUAAAAAAUAUUUUAGUUAAAUUGAUAUUAGAAUUAUUUUUUGCAUUUAUCACUACCAUUUAUCACAUUUAACUAUUUAUAAAAUAUUCUUUGGUUUUUUAAGUGAAACUGAAAUGUAUAUUUAAGUUGACAUUGUAAUGUUAUAUUUAAACUAACAAUUUAAGUAUUUUGUCCAAACUAUUCAAAAGUUGUAGCUUUAAACUGAUAAUGGUUUACAUAUAACAACAUAUUAAAUCUGAUAAAUUAAGUAUAAUAUGUUAAAAGUUAAAGACAUAACUUUAUAAGUAGAAGUAAGAUAUUAUUUUAAUAUUGAAAUUUAGUUUAUAUAUGAUUACACUUCAGGUUUGAUAUUUAUUUAACUUAAUUAACCAAAUUAUAAUUAUUCUUAGAAAGAAAUUAAAAAGUCAUCGAAGUUUCAAAUAAAUGUGGUGAAAGGAAAAAUACAUGAGAGUUUCAAAUGAAUGUGGUGUAACGAAAAAUGCUUCAUUUAUAAGUAUAUAAUGAUAAUGAUGAUAAUCAUAAUCAUAAUCAUAAUGAUUAAGAUGAAAAAAAACAAUUGAAGGUUAAUUGAAACCAAAAUAAUUUGUUUUAGUUUUUUUAUAUAAAAUAUAAAAUAAUUUUAAAUUUAUAAUUCUUAAUAGCUUAAUAAAAUCAUUGUAAUAAUCUUUAUAUUUAUAUAAAAAAAUGUUAACUCAUANNNNNNNNNNNNNNNNNNNNNNNNNNNNNNNNNNNNNNNNNNNNNNNNNNNNNNNNNNNNNNNNNNNNNNNNNNNNNNNNNNNNNNNNNNNNNNNNNNNNNNNNNNNNNNNNNNNNNNNNNNNNNNNNNNNNNNNNNNNNNNNNNNNNNNNNNNNNNNNNNNNNNNNNNNNNNNNNNNNNNNNNNNNNNNNNNNNNNNNNNNNNNNNNNNNNNNNNNNNNNNNNNNNNNNNNNNNNNNNNNNNNNNNNNNNNNNNNNNNNNNNNNNNNNNNNNNNNNNNNNNNNNNNNNNNNNNNNNNNNNNNNNNNNNNNNNNNNNNNNNNNNNNNNNNNNNNNNNNNNNNNNNNNNNNNNNNNNNNNNNNNNNNNNNNNNNNNNNNNNNNNNNNNNNNNNNNNNNNNNNNNNNNNNNNNNNNNNNNNNNNNNNNNNNNNNNNNNNNNNNNNNNNNNNNNNNNNNNNNNNNNNNNNNNNNNNNNNNNNNNNNNNNNNNNNNNNNNNNNNNNNNNNNNNNNNNNNNNNNNNNNNNNNNNNNNNNNNNNNNNNNNNNNNNNNNNNNNNNNNNNNNNNNNNNNNNNNNNNNNNNNNNNNNNNNNNNNNNNNNNNNNNNNNNNNNNNNNNNNNNNNNNNNNNNNNNNNNNNNNNNNNNNNNNNNNNNNNNNNNNNNNNNNNNNNNNNNNNNNNNNNNNNNNNNNNNNNNNNNNNNNNNNNNNNNNNNNNNNNNNNNNNNNNNNNNNNNNNNNNNNNNNNNNNNNNNNNNNNNNNNNNNNNNNNNNNNNNNNNNNNNNNNNNNNNNNNNNNNNNNNNNNNNNNNNNNNNNNNNNNNNNNNNNNNNNNNNNNNNNNNNNNNNNNNNNNNNNNNNNNNNNNNNNNNNNNNNNNNNNNNNNNNNNNNNNNNNNNNNNNNNNNNNNNNNNNNNNNNNNNNNNNNNNNNNNNNNNNNNNNNNNNNNNNNNNNNNNNNNNNNNNNNNNNNNNNNNNNNNNNNNNNNNNNNNNNNNNNNNNNNNNNNNNNNNNNNNNNNNNNNNNNNNNNNNNNNNUAUAUAUAUAUUAUUCGGUUUAACCAGACAAUUAAAAUUUAACCAAAACCAAAUAGACUAAGAUAUCGUUACUCGUUAACCAAACCGAAUUAACCGAAAAUCAAAUAACCCGAACCAAAAAAACCAAACAUCAUUGGUUAUUUAUCGCACAGCUGCUGAUAAUAGCAUCGUUAAUAGCAAGGAGUGUUUUGUUUUCAUCUUAUAUUUAGUUUUUACUUUUACGUCAACUAGGUUCCUUAGUUUUGCAAAUCUUAAUGAGAAGUCAGUGCAUUAAAAACGCAUGGCUCCCUUGUAUGUGCAAAGUCUUUGAAUCAAGUUUCUUUAACAUAUACGUUUUUUAUAAAAUAAAAAUAAAUAAGAAGUCGAUUCACCCGAUUGCUAUCAUUGAUUCAAAUUUGAAUGAUCAGGAAAAUAUCUGAUACAUUGAAUCGUUAUUCAUCCAAUUAAUUGAGAGACGGGGGGUACGUGUUUGGAAACAGUUAAGAAGAAAAAGAAAAGUAGGUGAGUCGGGUGGGUGUCUAAUGUUUUGAAAAUCGGAUAUGAUAUUGAAUCGGUCGUAUUACUAAUUUACUAGUUUGAACUGUCAAACGUCGGACCAGUUGUGUUGGUCCUAAAAUCCAGAUUUAUACAUUUAGCGGAUGUAUGGAAUUAAAUCCACAGUGGGGCAAUAAUUAGCACUGGCCAUGAGUUUGUGUGGGGUGUGCCCUUGUAUAGGACCCCAUAACUUUUGGAGCCCUAUUCAUGCUCAUUUGCCUGGUAAUUCUUUAUAGGUAGUAGAGGUUAUUUUUUAUCCACUUCGCCUUAUGUUCAGUCAUAUCUUGUAUUGUAAUGCAACUCAUGUUAUGUAAAUGACAAAUUUUGUUUUUGAUUAUCUUUUAUAUUAACUAAUUUAAAAAAAAUAUAUAUCAUAGCAAAUAUAUUAAUCCGCACAAUGUAAAUGAAUUUUUUUUGGCUAAAAUGUGACAAAGCUGACUUGACAUCCAUAUGGAUUGUGGCAAGCUUGACACCAUUCUCACCAACUUAAGUUUUUAAAUGAGAGUAAAGGCUUCAUGUUUUUGUCUAACACGACAUUAUAUAUAACACGAACACGAUUCGAUGUCAUGUUUUUUAAGCUAACACGAACACAAACUAAUUAAAAAACAACAAACACGACACGACACGAAAAAAUAACACCAAAUAACAUUUUUUUAUUUAAUUAAUAUUUAAUAAUACAUAUCAUGACAAAUACGGAAAACACGACAAACAAACGUUAAAUUGUGUCAAUCUCGUGUUGAAUAUUGAACAUGAACACAACAGAACACGGCAAAUUUUUUGUAUAGUUGACACGAGCACAAAUUUGGAUUUUUAUUUUCGUCCCAAUUUUGUUUCGUAUCGCGUCAUUAAUGCCACCCUAAAUGGGGGUGUUCAAUGCUUAAUAUUAUCUUUUAAUCUACCCUAAUAAAUAAUUAUUAUUUUUCCUAAAUGUGAACUUUUCAUUGAAUUUGACAUAUUAUUUUUAAAAAUAUUAGAAUUAUUUUUUUUUUGCUUGUCAUUUUGGUAUUUUACUUUAUUCAAAUUCCAUCUAUUAAAUGCCACCUCAUAUUAAUUGAUUUUAUUAAUAUAUUAAUUGAUAUGUAUUAAUGUAAUUAAUAACAUUCUAUUUGUGAAUUCAUAUUUCUAUUAAUAUAUUAAUCAAUGUAUAUUAAUGUAGACAGUUUCAUAUUAAUUCCUUUUAUUAGAAUAGAUUAAUUAACACAAAAUUAUAUAAAUAGUCAUUUUGGUUUAUCAAAUGUCACAAACUCAAUCAUUUUUAUUAACACCGUUACUUUUGAUCUUUUUAGAUAGGAAGAACAAAAUUGUUUAGAAGAGAAUUAUCAAAUGUCUCCUAAAUCAAUUGUAAGAGAUGAAAAAUAUUGUUUGGCAAUGAUUAGGAAUAUGAAUUAUUGGGUUUUACUGAUCAAUUAUGCAAAAUAUGAAUCUGAAAAAAAAUCAAGUCAUGAAUAAUCAUAUCAUGAAUAAGGACAUCAAUUAUGGGAGAGAUUGCAAAUGAGUAUUUUAGUAAUUUAGUUAUAAUAUAGCUUAAAUAUAAUGUUUUUUAAUUUUAAAUAUGUUAGUUAUCACUUAAAUAAGUAUUUGAGUAUAUAUGUGAGUUUAUAAGUUUUAUAAGGAUAUAAAUGUAACUUGAAGUUUACUAAGAUAUAGACGUAAUUAUGCAACUUUAUAAAGAUAUAACUGAAGUUCUCCUUAAAAAAUGUAUUUUAUUUAGUUUUUCUACCUUCUGACGUAAUUUUUUUUUGCGUUUCGUGCUUAAUUUAAUGUACAUUUCAUACGUAUGAGUCGAGUCACAUAUAAUAAUUUUCAUUCGUUAACUUUAAAAAAAAAAAAAAAAAAAACUAAAUUGCCUAUGGUCCUUACCUUGUGAAAUAUAUCAAUUGAACAUAUUUCCAAUGAUACUCAUUUCACAAUUCCCUAAUCCUUAUUAUAAGUGUAAGAAUACAAAAUUCUUACCACUACUAGAAUCUUGUUAGAUCUAAACUCACAUGCAAUGAUCCUUUUGUAAUUUCAAGGCACCAAAGUCACAGAGACUUUAUCAAUGAUAUUACAAAACAUUCCACUGGAGACUUGUUACAGAACAAUUACAUGGAGAUGAAGUCUCACAUUCAGGGUACAUUCCUCUGAACAUCCUUGUUGCAUAAAAGAUUCUAACCUACACAUAGAUUCUUAAUAUCCAACUCCCAUUAUGGAAACAUUUCCAUAAUUACCAUAUGACUAUCCAUUCUAAAUAGAAUCCUAUCUAUUUUGAAUUGUAUCAAUAUGGUCCAUUCAUUAACAUACUUCCAACAGUCCCAAUCAACCAAUCUUUGGUAAACCUUAUAUUGUCCUUGACAGUUGUUUAAUAUCUUCAGUCAUAUCCGGUUCUAGUCCCUUUUCCCUCUUAAUGUGUUGGGCAUUUGGAAAAAUCAGAACAUGCGAAUAUUAUAGCAUAUGCAAUCGAUCCUAUACCCGAAACAUACAGGAUAAGAUUCAUAAUGUCUUACACAAAGACAUGAUACUAGAUCAGUCUUUUGCUAAAAUAUUUCCACAUACAGAAUUUCCUUAUGUUAAAUCAUUUCAACAUAACAUUCAUGUAUGAACAUGACUAGAUUCUAUUAAAAUUUCAAUAUAAGCUUUUAGAUUUGAAAUGAAAUAUUAGUUCCUCUCCCUUAGACUUUCUAUAGCAAAACAACUUUUCAUCCUCUACAACUUUGCAAAUUUAAAACUUUGUUUCCUAUAAAUAGCAUCACUAACUUGCAACACUUAACGUAAUAAUUGUGCUCCCACUAGCAUAAUAAUUACAUUUUUACUAACAUAACAAUUAUGCUUCCACUAGAUUUGACAUGUACCCAGAAAUCAGCUGGACUUCUAGAAAUCAAUACUUAUUGACUUUCUUUCCAAAGUUCAGAUUUCUGAUACGAGAUGUUUCGAUAAGUCUUUAUCUAGGCUUUUCAAACUCAUACACCUUUCCUUAGAUAUCUCAUAUGUAUGUCUAAACUAUUUCAGAACUUACAACAAUAAGUCUCGAAUGUUCAGACUAUUUUCCGUUUCUCACAAGUUAAACUAUGAAGAGGGAUGCCGUAAUCAUAAUCGAAUUUGAGAAUACAAUUAACACAAUUGCUAUCUCUUUAAAUCUACUUAGUGAAUGCGUUUCCUCAUAAUCCUUUUAUGAAGCGAAGAGAAACCUUUUCCACUUAGAUUUUAUGGUGUAUGUAUUCUUAUCCAUGUGAAUUUGUCAUAACCAUAAUCAUAAGACAAGGUUUGUGACAAUUCAAACUCAUAUGGACUGAACUUUUUCAAUCUUAAUUUCUUUCCAUCUGGUAGCUUAAGGGUCCUACCGUUGCUUCCAAAUUAUUGCACAGCUCACCCUUACAGAUUAAUGUAUUCUCCAUUGACCAAGGUGCUUUUCCUUAUGCAUUCAAAUGAGAACUCACAGAACUCACAUGCAUAGUUAACAUAAUUAGAAUGGGCACAGAAACAAGAAUAUGUCAACACGAUAGGUUACAAACCUCAAGUCGUGUGCUAGUGAUAAACAAUAGGUUUAUUCUUGAUUAGUUCUUGAAGCUAUUCAAGAUCAUUAAGACUCACACUGACCUGUUGACAUAUAAGAUUCUCUUGUCAAGAAACAUUACUUAACGAACAAAUAUUCAAGAGUUAGUGCGGGUUCUUAUCAAGAAAAAUACUUCAUACAAUUGGUCUUAGUUGGUCUUUGUUUUAGCCAAAACAUCACAACUACCAAUUCCAAAUGUGCAAGAGGAAGAAACAUUUCUACUCCACAUUUCAUGAGGUGUUAUAAACCUACUUAGAACAUGUUACUCAAGAUAUAACUUGGAGUAACUGGUGUAUAACUCUAAAAACCGAUUUUGGAACAAAGUAUGACUUAUCCUUUUGAUUUUAACCAUUUCAAAAAUUCCCGAUUCAUCUCCUUAGUCAUAUAAAUGCACUAAGGUGUCCUUAGAGGAUCAAUUGUGACAUGGUUCCAUAAUCAUAAGGAUGAUCUUAAAGCAUGAUACUAAAGUACUCUCCUUUCCUUUUAAAUUAGAGAAACUUUCAUCUUUCUACCUAAUUGAUUCCUCUUAUUCGUUGUGCUUAUACUUUGAAACUUUUCAAGGUAUUAGAAUUAUACUUAAACUUGUAAGCAUAACCAUAUUUAGUUAUUUACUAAACCAUUAGUAAAUCAUGGCGAAUAGUCUUUAUCACUCUUGUGGUGGAUCUGACCAAUACACAUCAAUGUGUACUUGAUCCUUAAGUCUUUCACUUGACUCACAUACAUAUGUGAAUAAGGGACUGGUCUUAAUUUCCCAACGAUGAAGAUUCUCAUUCAUCACACAAUACAAGUCGCAUGAUUCCAAGUUUCUAUCCAAUUGAAACUUGGGUGAUGAGGAUCCUUCCUUAUUUGGUAAACUAUGACACUUUACCAUAAAUGAUAUAACUAAGAAUCAAAUCCAUAUUCAAUAUUGCUAUUUAUAGAAAUAUAAACACCAACUUUCACAAAUUCCAUUGCAAGGAAAUCAUAAAAUAAGAAAAAAUCAAAAUUUUCUUUAUUUAUAAAAUGAGGAAAAACUUGUCCUUACAACGCAAUUCCAAAUGAAAACUAUGUUACUAAGUAUCCGUAAGCAAUCUAUCAUAACUCCUAAACAGCGGCUGAAAAAUUUGAUCAUCGAACCAUGCGAUCGAAAUCCAUCUCUUCGCAACCAGACUCAGCUCACUCUUCCUUUAAACUUCAUUUAUUUCCUUUGAUCCUACAAAACAUCAAAAUGUAAUCUUAUCACAUCAUGUAUUAAGAAUCUAUAAACAUGAACUUAAUAGAGUUAGAUAGUGGACUUACCUGAAGUAGAGUCAUACAUUUUGACUUUACCAUCCCUCUGAUCUUUCAGGUAAAUAUGGCAGCUUCGCAUCCAAUGCCCCUUCUCUUAGCAAUAGAAACAAAUAGAAUGUUUCGGAAUGGUACACUGGACAAUCUCAGACUUAGCCUUUCUCUUUACCAUUUGGUCAAACGGUUUGACCUUGGCAGAUCCCUUUCCAUUGGGAAGUGAAAACUUUUAUUGACUUCCAAUGUUACCAUUGUCAAUAUCCAUGGAAGUUUGGGAGAUUGAUCUUCCAAUCAAAUUUGCUUGACCAGUGUGCCAAAUCAUUGCUGAUUCUGCACCGAUUAGCAAAUAUGUAAGAUCGAUAAGGGUCACGUCGUGGUCUGUCAUAUAGUAAUCUUUAAUGAACUCACUAUAUAACCUAGGAAGUGAUUGAAGAACCAAGUCAAUAGUCAGCUUCCUCGAGACAUCAACACCCCGCAUUCCCAGCCUGUCAAUAUGCAACUUCAUCUCCAAGACGUGAGCACAUACAGACUUUCCAUCUUCGUGUUUGUUUGCCAACAGGGCUUGAGUGACCUUGAACUUUUCAAGUCGAUGAAAAUGUGGGUCGAGGAGAAUCACGAGAGGAGGUGGAGGAAGAGAAUUAUGAUUUCCACUUCCACCAAUGCACAACAAAGAGAUUGAUCUUUCACCUCGAUCGCCAUGUGAAAUAUCAUAUUCAUUAGGAAAGCUUUUUCCAAAAGGAUAAAGAAGACCACAGUUGUCAGAACUAGACAUCUACAACGGAAGAAAUUCAAGUAGGUUGAUUUAAUCCUCAAUAUAACACCCAAAUGAAAUAUUAAGGCUAAGAUCCAACAAAAUAAUUCACAAUUCAGAAGAGGGAUGUUGUAAUCCAAUUGCAAAUUAUUUGUCGGUAGGUAAAUGACAAUUUACCAAUUCCACCACGGAAACGAAAUUUAAACGAAUUAAGUUUUAGAUGAAAUUCCUAGAUCUUUUGAGACUCAUUGAACUUUUCAAUGGCAUGUUUAAUCUCGAUUAUGCCUUCAAGUUUGUGACUAGGAUACCGAGGAUCACAAACAAGGUGUGAAUAACCAUGAAAAUUAGCUUGGUACUCUCGAAGUCAUUUAUCACCUAAUCAAUGUGUCGGUUAACCACACACGCUCCAUUGAUCUAUGAUAAUCUACGAGCUACCCAUUGCCAUCCUUUAUUAGUCCCAUAUUAGUAUGUCGGUUAACCACACACGCUCCACUAACGACCAAUAAUGUGCAAUGUGCAAUUUCACGGGUUAGCAUCAAAUUCACAUUUUUCCUAAAGUAACUAAGAUUGGGAAUUUAGAAAAACAUUUAGUUACCUUUUAUAAUUAUCAUUAUAAUUUUUAAUGAGAACUAGUGAGAGAACCCGUGGUAAACCACGGGUCACUUUUUUGUGAUAUUUUUUUGUAUUUGGAGUGAGCUUGGUCGUUACAUCUUUUAUGCUGUGAAAUGAUCCAUUAUGAACCAUUUUUGGUGUCACAAUGCUCCAAAAAUUAUUUCAAAAUGAUAAAUGCAGGUUGGCUAUUUAUUUUGCUGUCAGGUUAUUGUUUGAUGUUAUAAUGAUCCUUUUCUACAUUAAAAAUUUAAUUGUUUUUGCUUAUAAAUAUAUAAUAAAACUGAAACUAUGGAAAAUAUGAAGAUGUAUAGAGAGAUUGACAGAUUAGAACCUCAAAAGGAUGUGGGUGCUUAUAAUGUGGUUUUUUAGAACCCGAAGUCCAACAGGCGGACACAGCUUCAUGUUUUAAAAAGCAAAUGAGAUAAGAAGAAAUUAGUUAAUUAAUAAGAAAAAAAGAUACAUGCUAUUGUUUAAAGAUAUAACAGGAAACAUAUUGCUAUUUUUUGUGCAUAAAACAUUUUAAACAACGAAUAAAAAAAUAAACACAAAUGUGCUCUUGUUGAACCUCUUAGUCCUUUUGAAGUGAAAUUAAAUAUUAUUUGAUAUCAAACAAAUUCAUAAAUACAACAAAAGAUUACAACAGGUUUUUUGUAUAUGUUCAUCCCGAGUUUUACUGAAUAAUUACAAAUUAGUGUUUAUAAAGAUAAUGUGUUGAAUUAAAGUAAGUCUAUGUAUGUUUUGAAAAUAUCAUAUAGUUUUACUGCUUUUUGUCAUGUGUUUCUUCGUCCACUUCGCUGUGGUUUUUGUAUUUCAUUCAUUUGGGACAUGAUGUUUUCUGUGUAGUAUCUGUGAAAUGGAUAGAUGUUGGUUAAGUGUUGGCUAUAAAUAAAAAGCUAUAUUUUAGUCAUACCUGGAUGUUCUAAUUGGAGGCAUUUUCCUGUUUCACAUGAUUUAGUAGGGGUGAAGGACUCCAUAUUUGUAGUGGUUUGUUGGUCCAUUGUUGUCGAAGGUGUAGUUGGUGGUCUUCUAGUUGAAUUGAUAGUUGGUUGUGGACUUUUUAUAUCAUUGGUUGUGGUGACUAUGAAACGGAUAUUUUUAGUUGAUGGAAGUUUUGUGCAUUGUACAAAAACAUUCUUUGUCAACCCUUUAAAACGUUGCAGUGGUUCCGGUAAAGUCAGUGGUCAAAAUUACACACACUGGAACAAUUCCCACAAUCAUAAUAAACAUGCAAACUUGGUGUCUCUUCUAAAAGUGAACUCUUGCAUGAACGACGGGGGACUAUCGUAUUGGAAGUAGAAGCCAUUUGUCGUCGUUUUGGAGGCAUCACAAGAAGGCAUUUACUGAAAUGGAAAUCCAAAUUUCAUUGACUUGUAACAUACUUUUUAUGUAAUUCAUAUGGAACAUUAGAUUCUAAAAAGGUGUAGUUGAAAGUAACUAUUAUGAUUAGUAACUAACUUAUGGAGUAUAUAUUAAAUAACAUUUGGAAGAGAUUAAUAACAUACUCUAUUAUUGUUUUAACCCAUGGAUUCAUUGAACAUCAAAGAUAAGAAAUAUAUUUGCAACAACAAAAUUAGUCAUUAAUCAACUGAUAAUGGUAUAUAUUCAACUAAAGCUUGUAAAUAGGAUAAAAUUGAAAAAAUGACCAUUCUAUUAAAAUUUAUGCCUAAAGGACCAUUAUUGUAAUUGAGUAUUGAUUUAGGACCAAAUUAGUAAACUUAUGUACACAAAACAUAUUCAGUGAAAGGGUUAAAGACAACUUACCAAAUUUCUAAAGAUCCAAGGUAGAAUUGAAUAUUAGAUUCCUUAUCACAAAAUGUUUAUAAUUUUUAUAUUAACAUAAAUUCAUGAGAAACCAAAGGGUGUUAAAAUGUCUAACUUGCAGAGGCAAUGAAGAAAGAGAGAAAAAUUGAAAUUGAAUAUGGACAGAAAUCAAUAUCAAAUACAAAGGAUAGACAACAUACCUAGAAAUUCAAAUUGUAAUUGAGUGUAGUCGGUUGAAGGCGGAUACAAAGCAGAACCGUUUGUUGGCGACAAAAACGUCAAACCUAGAAUGAAAACUUAAACGUAUUGAGUUGGAAAUGAAGAAAUUUAUAUGAAAAUGGAACAGAAAAUCAAUAUGAUAUAAUUGCGAUAUAGUAUAGACGAGGUAGGCGUCUAGGAGUAUGACUAAAGAAGUAUUUCAAAAAUCAGUAAUAUUUAAAGAGAAAAUUUUAAAUUGACAUACCUUAUUAAUUGGAAUUGUUGGAUUCCUAGUUGUAAGUGCUCGAAGAUAAAGACGGUGGAAACGUCAAACACAGAUUUUGUAAUCAAAGAAAGAACGAAUUAAUAUGAUGGUGUUGGGAAUUUGCACAUAUUCACAAAGAUUAGAGAAAGUUGUUAUGUAUUGAAAGCAAGAAAGAGUUCACAAUUGACAUACCUUAUGAGUCGUAAUUGUUUGAGUCCAAAUUCUAAGUGCUUGGAGAAAAAGAUGGUGGUUGAGAGGCUCUGAAACGAAGUAGGACUAAUUAAUUUUAAACUAAAACAUGAAUAAAGUUCAAAUUUAGCACUAACUUUAUGAUGAACUCAACUAAAAACAUAGAAAGAAAAAUGAUACAUUUUACAAAUUAUAAAAAUAUAAACAAAAACAAUAGAAGGAACAAACACAAAAAGACGACACAAAAAAAGAUGUAAACAAAAAAUCAAAAUCAAAUAAAAACAUUAUAUGACCUACCGAAAUUCAAAAAUACAACAAAGAGCACAUGCUGUUUGUGGUGGUAAUUGAGCACCGACGGUCAAACCCACAAAGUCGAAGACAUCGCUCAAAAACACGGAAGGAUUAGAAGGAAUAGCAAUUGAAUUGAAAAUCACAAUAUAAUUGAUACAUUAUACGACAUACCAUAAUUCGUCAUAGAAACAAAUAGAAAUUCGUAGCCUUCAACAUACCAGAAUUUGUCACAGCAAUAGAUAGAUAUUCCUAGUCUCCUUAUAUCAUUAAUGAAAAUCCUGAAAUAAGAUUUCAGAAUUCCAGUUACCAAAUAUUAGAGUAAACAUAAAAAGUUAAAGGGGUUAUUUUGUCAUUAUUAAAGUGUUUUUAACACAUUUGACUAAUAUACAAAGAAUAAGUACUCAAUUAGAAAAUUAUUCUUCAUGAUGCAAGAAAUAUUAUGUUUUUCUUUUAUUCAACUUUUGUCGCUAACAUACAACACAAUACAAAAAAAAAAUGGUUCACUAUGGGAUUUCCAGGGUAUUUGUUGACUCACCUUCUUUUAUAAUGUCAAAAUUAGCAUUCUUUAUGAUAAAUGACCAAUGAUUCCAUCUACUAUUGUAAAAGCUUUAGUCUUUUUGAUAAAUAACCAAUAAUAUAUGGGUGGUGAGUCCUAGAUUAUACAAAUUCUUAUUUAGGGUGCAUUCUUUUGAACGCUUUUGGAAGUUUCUUCAGAUAACCGUAUCAGGGUUUUUUUUUUCAGUUUAUGGUUGUUUUACAACUUACUUUAGUUGUCAUUUGACCUUUUUGCCCCUGUGAGGCUGUGGCUUACCUGGUUUUUGUUCCAAUCUUGAUUGCAGUAUACACCUGCUGUUGAUACACUUAGAUGCAAGCCAAGUUAACUACACCAGAGAUUAAGAUAAUGACUAUUUGUAUAGAAAUUUUACUUUGUGGUGAAAAGAGUCGUUUUGUAUUUUUUUUUUUGGAAAUUGGCCAUUAACUGUUACUGUGUGUGGGUGUUUCGGGCUAAGAUAUUGAUUUAUCUGUUUGUGUAUUUUAUCCCUUCUUUCAUAGUUCUUUUUGUUGAAAAGAGUCGUUUUUUUGUUUAUAUGCAAUCAUUUUUUUUCUUUAACAUAUAGUAAUAAAUACAAUUAGUUAAACACGUUAAGCAUGCCUUUAGUCGUAUUAUGUAUCCAAUUGUAUCGAAUCAAAUCAUCCUAAUAUUACAUUAAACGCUUUUGGUCUUAAAUGAGUCAGAGGAAACUUUUGUUUAUACUUGAAUGAGUGAAUUAUUUGAGACUAAAAUCUGAUGGAAUGGCGUUUUAACAUUGAAAAGAAUUUGCUCUUCUUUUCUUCACAUGAAUUGAUGAUCAACAGCAUUUGUAUGAGAGUGUUUUGAAAUGAGAGCAUAGAUUCUUGUCAUUACAAUUUGUAAAACCUCUCUUAAUCAUUACAUAAAUAAUUUGAAAUAGCUUCGAGUUAUUGACUCUUUGUUGGAUUCACAACUUUAGGGUUAGUUGGGGUGACAAAUUAUGUUCAUUCUUACGAUGUUCUGACCAGGAAAUGGACCAGGUAGUUCUAAUUCGUUCUUAUAUUUGACUUAACUUUUCUAGAAGUCAAUGCUAAUGCUUUUUUUUUCAGAAUUCGACAAGCUGGAGAACCACCUUCACCCAGGGUUGCUCAUGCAGCUGCUGUUGUUGGAACAAUGGUUGUAUUUCAGGUAACCAUAAUUAUGAACUAAAGUGAAAAAAGGAGAUCUUUUAGCCAUUUAUCUGAUUUUUGGUUUUUGAUAAACCGAUUGUGCAUGAUUAGGGCGGCAUUGGUUGAUAAAAUAAUAAAUAUUAAGAUUCUUUCUCCAUUUCGAGGAGGUGUCUCGCAUGUGUGGACUUCCCUUUAACUUUUACUUAAUUAAGUAAUUAAGCUAUAUAGACUAUUACUAAGUUGAUAACAUCUAGGUUUUGGAACAAUUAUAUAUAUAAAAGCCUUUAUCGUUCUAUUCCUCAUGUCCUUGAUCCAUGAUCUUUGUUUGUUUUCUAAACAACUAUUUCUAUAACUUAACUUUUACAAUACUGUUAAAUUGAACUAAUAAAUUAACAAAAUAGAAGGUUAUAUAAUAAUGCAACUUUUGACAUUGUUGUUGUUUUUAUAUGUAGGAUCCUAAACAUGGACACUGGUGGCUACAAUUUGGAUCAGGGGUGCUAAUAGGAUAUUGGCCAUCUUUUUUUAUUCAGUCAUCUACAAAAAGAAGCAAGUAUGAUACAAUUUGGAGGGGAGAUAGUGAACACAAGAUCAGGGGGUAUCACACAUCAACUCAAAUUGGAAGUGGCCAUUUUGCAGAUGAAGGUUUUGGAAAAGCUUCAUACUUUAGGAAUUUACAGGUUGUUGAUUGGGACAACAGUUUGCUUCCUUUAACAAAUCUCCAUGUAUUAACUGAUAAUCCAAAUUGUUACAAUAUAAAAGCCGGAAAAAAUAAUGUUUGGGCGAAUUGUAUUUAUGAUGGAGGUCCAGGAAGGAAAGGAGGUUGUCAAUAGAGAAAAUUGCAUAGUAGUAACAAUAUUUUUAUUUACAUUAUUAAUUCUUUCCCUCUAGAGGAUUUUUGGAAUUUUUUGUCUAAAAAAGAUCCCUUUUUAAGUUUUAUUUGUAGUAGGUUGCCAUAAUUAAGCCAUGUUAAUGAGGGCUCUUGUAUAUUAGCGUUAGGGGUAGUAACUGAUUUUAUAAUGUAUUAUGGUUUGUAUUUCGUAAUGUGGUGAUUUGAUUUUUCAUUAUAACAGCAAACAAUAACCUAACAACAAAAUAAAUAGCCUACCUUGACAACAUAUAUAGGUGGAACUUUUGCACUUUAUUCUUCAAUAUGCGGACAUGCUAAAGUAAGCCUUUUACCAAAUCAACAAACUGCUGAUGAAUCACUGUGUACAUAUAAAUUCAAGCAAUCUAAUGAUGGGAAAUAUUGUCUAGAGGGUUUCGUAACUUUAAUUUCACAGAGUAGGAAAGACAAUCAAAAUCAUAUGACGGAGAACAUACCAAGAAUUGAAAUUGCAAUUGAGUGUAGAUUAUUGGAGGCGGCAACAGAAGGCGUCGUCGGAGAUGUCAAACCCAUAUUUGAAAUCCUAAUUUAUUGAUAGAGAAGCCGUAGGAGAUCUCAAAUCCACACAGUCGGAAAACAGAAAAAGAAGAGGAGUCUGAAGAUUUUGGAGAAACGUAUAAAAACGAUGAUGGAGGAAUAUUCUCUAGACGAUUUCAUAACUUCAAUUUCACAGAGUCGGAAUAUAAGAAAAAAGCAAAUUCGAGAUUGAAACAAAAUCAAUAUCGAAUAGAACAAAACAUACCCAGACAUCAAAUUUCAAUUGAUUGUGGAUGGUUGGAGGCAGCAACAACCGUUUUUUGGCAAGAAAUUGAAACUUAGACAGAAAAUCAAAAUCGAAUAGAAGAAAACAUACCCAGACUUCAAAUUUCAACUGAUUGUAGAUGGUUGGAGGCAGCAACAACCGUUUUUUGGCAAGAGAAGUUGAAAUUCUAAGUUCUUGAUUGAUAAGGUGUAUGAGAUGUCAAACCCAUAAUUCAAAUUCGGAAUUGUUGAUUGAGAAGCGUAUUCAGAAUUCUUGAUUGAGAAGCGUAUGAGAUGUCAAGAAGAGAAGUCUGAAGAAAUGGUAGAAACUUAUGGAAGCGAUCAUGGGGGUAAAAUUUUAAAAGUGUUGAUUGUUAUGGAGAAUUUGGAGAAACCUAAUGUGGCGAAACUCUAAACUUCAAAAAUUAUAAGGCUAAAUUAUGAAAUGCACAAAAGACACUGUUAACAAACGUUAGGACUUUUAAUAUAUGUAUAUAAUAAUUGUCAUAUCCUACCCGUUCGGCUAACGACCCACCACUACUCAAGGAAGCGGUGGGUGAGAGUGGACACCCAUUCAAUCACCAUUUUAUAGGCAAUUUCCUUAUACCCCCCUUAUAGACCAGCUUCGUAAAUGAGGCUUAGUAACGGUAAGUCUGACUUUUAACUUUNUAUAUAUAUAUUAGAUUUUUAAUUUUAUAUAGUGUAAGGGUGUAGUUUAAACCUUUAAAAUACUAGGAGGUUUAAUCUCUUAAAUAAAUUAGACUUUUAAUUCAAUUAAAACUUUAAACCAUUCAAUUAUGGAUUUAUUAAUACUCUUUUAAUUAACCUUUUAAUUAAAAACUUUUAAUUCUAAAUUUAAAUUAAGAAACCAAAAGGUUGUAUUUUAAACAUUUAAAAUACAAGGCUUUUAGAACUUAAUAUUUCACGAUUAAAACUUUUAAUCAUAUAGGUUUUGAUGAGGAUUAGGACGUUUAUCUUCAAACACUAAGAACCAAGUCAACCUAGGAUGGAUGAAUGACAGAGCACCUAAGAUAUAUGUCCCUUAGGUAUCCUUUGAAUGCUAGGAAUACAUAAAAUUCUUAAAGCAGUGAGCUUAAAACAAACUCGCUACAAUUGUAAGUAACUGGAAAUUCACAUUAUUCUUUAUGUGGCCAUUUUAAUUCCAAUGAGAAUAUAAACAUUUCUUCAAAAUAAAGUACAAAUCAUAAAGCAUCAAUGAGUUUAUAAAUAUUUAAUAAGAGGUUUUGUAACAUCAAAGUAUCAAUAAUAUCAUCAUUUGCACACAAAAUUUAAGUUUCUAAUUAGGGUAUGUCCUUCUAUGAAGUUGAAACUACAAACAAAACUAAGUAAAAUCAUAAACUAUUGAAACAGAAUAUGGAACAGGGAAGGCAUUCAUCUCAUAAGCUAUUGUUUAGAAAUCAGAAACAAUUCAAUGAUAUUAUUCUGAAACUAGGGUUUAUCUGACACUUUAAUGUUAAAGUAGAAAGGGUAGAGAUGUUACUUCUCAAGAUAUAACAGAGUAGUGACAGGGUGAUCGGUGGCAACAAUGGUGAUAACAAAGAAUCAUAUCACAAAUCGGUGGCAGAAAUAACAAUGGUGUGAUUGGUGGGAUCGUGGCAAGUCAAAAAGUGGUGAAACGAGGAUGGAAAUGGCGAGGCGGCAAGUUGAUUUCUUAAGCGGAGCAACCCUAAUCAAUCGACGUUUGCUUUGAUUUCUCGUGGUGUUGAUGAUUUUGAAUGAUAGUAUGAGAGAUUUGAGAGUAUUAGUAGUACUAACUACUAAGGCUUCGAGGGUUUUGUUAAAAGAGACAAUCAUAUAAUUUGUCAUUUCAUGUAGAUCGUCAUUUUAUGCAGAGAAUGACACCUAUGACAUUUUCCCAAACGAGUCAAGAUAGUCAAACAAUUAUCGACCUUAUCUAAUUAAUAUAAAAUAUCUUUUGGAAAUGAAAUUUGAACGUCAUUUUAAUAUAUUCAACCAUUUUGUUUUAACUUUUAACGCCAUUUUAAUAUUUUGUUUGCCACUAUUUUUUUAACUAAAAUAAAAUAUUAUUUCUAAAUGAAAUUUGUGUUAAAUAGAUAAAAUAGUCAUUUGUUAUUUUCUUAAUGCAAAAACAAGCUUACAAACUAUAAAUAAUAAAUUGAAAUAUCACAAUAAAAAACUGUUAUGAAAUUCAUUUUAUUGUGUUUUUCUUUUAUUUAUCAAAAACAUGUUAUUUUGUAGCAUAAAUGUAAAUUUUCAACCCUAUAUUUAAAAUUAUCACUUUCAAAUUCACAUCUUUAAGAAGUUUAUGAUUAUUUUUUUCUUCCAAACAUCUUUCAAUAAAUGGAUAGAGUCUAAAAUCUUUUCAACUUAUANNNNNNNNNNNNNNNNNNNNNNNNNNNNNNNNNNNNNNNNNNNNNNNNNNNNNNNNNNNNNNNNNNNNNNNNNNNNNNNNNNNNNNNNNNNNNNNNNNNNNNNNNNNNNNNNNNNNNNNNNNNNNNNNNNNNNNNNNNNNNNNNNNNNNNNNNNNNNNNNNNNNNNNNNNNNNNNNNNNNNNNNNNNNNNNNNNNNNNNNNNNNNNNNNNNNNNNNNNNNNNNNNNNNNNNNNNNNNNNNNNNNNNNNNNNNNNNNNNNNNNNNNNNNNNNNNNNNNNNNNNNNNNNNNNNNNNNNNNNNNNNNNNNNNNNNNNNNNNNNNNNNNNNNNNNNNNNNNNNNNNNNNNNNNNNNNNNNNNNNNNNNNNNNNNNNNNNNNNNNNNNNNNNNNNNNNNNNNNNNNNNNNNNNNNNNNNNNNNNAUAUAUAUUCCACCUAACUUCAUCAAAUAUAUCAUAUAUUUAAAAUUACAUUAAACUGCAAAUUUAAUCCCUAUGUUGAGCCAAAAAAUAUGAAUGGAGUCUAAAAUCUUUGCAGCUUGCACCAUUAGUCCAAAAUCAGAUUUUUUUGUGGUUAUGGUCCCUGUAAAAUAUAAACUGACUAUUAUACCCUUUUAAUUUAUACUUUACAAUUUUUUUCAGUUCUUACUAUUUUUAUAAUUUAAAAAUAAAAAAGAAAUACUAAACUCCAACCUCACGCCACGGUUGCUCUUUCUCUUUCUCUUUCUCUCUCUCUCUCUCUCUCUCUCUCUCUGUGACAUCCCCAUUUUCACGAUAAUAAAAGACCGAUUUUGUUUAUGCUUUGUUUAAAAUCAGAGUAACAUUUUAAAUAAAAUUGUUGCAGAAUUUGUCCCAAAACAAAAUAUGAUAAAGAUUUAUCAAAAGCAUUUCCAUAGAAAUGUGUUUCAUUAAAAAGACUCGGGAUGUCAUGUUCGAUACAGAUCAUAAGCAUAAACAAUACAACAUAGGCCUUACUACAUUAUUCCGUAUUUACAUGCCUAAAAUCCCUUAAUCUCUCAUCCCAAGACAUCACAUCUAUGCUCAUGCACCACUACCUGUAAUACAAGAAAUUGAGUGGGUCAGACUUGGGAGUCUGGUGAGCACAUAAGGUUUUCAACCAACAAUAAAUAAGUUUAUUAACUUUAUCAAACCAAACAAACCCGAUUGCCUGUUCCCGUUAUCCUCACUUUACGUCCCUAAAACAUCUAACACAAGGGACCUAGUCUAAGGAGUAUCAUCGGGAUGGACACUACUGCUGACGGGAUUCGUUAGCAAUAAAUAUCCUUAAGGCAACCAUGUGGGGGAUGGAGUACACCUGGUGAGCACACAGGUCAAAUAAACACCUACAGGUUGCGAGCCUGCUAGCGUUCUACUAGACUGUCUAGAAUAGUCUGUGGUCGUCAUCUAUACUCCGCUAGAUGAUUGGAUCAUUAAUAACAUCUAUAACGAGGUCUCUCAUCAUUUUAUUUUGUCACACAACGACUAUUACAUCUACCCAUGUGUUUACCCAACACAUUUUGUAGAUAUAAAAUACAUAUAUACAGUUUAAAUCAUUUAAAACGUGUAUAAAAUUGUUCAUCAAGCAUAAAUAGCAAGUAUACAGAUAAUAUGCAUACACAUCACGUAAUUUAUAUAAAAUACUUCAUAUCUAUGUAUAACCUGAAAGUAACUAUGCACUCACUUGAAAGAUGGUGACUCAGCACUCGGACAGUUCGAUACUCUCAAAACAACUUUCCUUCGAUAAAACCUAGUAUCAAUACCACUAGGGUUUAGUCUAACGAUAACCGCGACUAAUUAAUAGUCUGACUAUUAUUACUAUUAUAUAAUCGUUAAACGAUACUUAUAUAACUCAUAAUAAUAGCCCAAAUAAUUAUUUUACGGACCUAUAACAUUACUAUAAUUAUUUGAAAGUUAUAUUAAAAAUUGCGUAAGCGUAGCUCACUUACAACGGAUUUUAAAGAAAACCGGGCUUUGCUCAGAGCAGCGUUUCGAAACCAAAAGACCCUUUUUCUCGGGACUCCGGGAGCCUCGGGGCUUCCUUUGGGUGUUAGGGAGGUUUACCUAGGGUUUAGGGGGUUUGAAACUCUAGAGAGAGAAAGAUCUUAGAGAGAGAAAGAGUGAAGAAAGGUGUGAAAAAUCCGGAAGAGUUCGCACCCUUUUAUAUCCUGCGAGGCCUCGGACUACGCUGGGCGUAAUCCUUGGCUACGCGGGGCAUAACUUCGGAUAGGGUGCCACCUCGGAUCCAGCUGUCUCGCACUCGUUAGAAGGAUAAGGCCGAAGGUACGCGGGGCGUACCGGAUCUCGUACGCGGGGCGUAAUGUGAGGCUACGUGGCAUGAUCUGAAGCGAAGCCUUGGUCAGCAAGCAACGGCUCAGAUGCGGCCACAUCAUCAACUUCUCGCAGAUUUCGCAAUUUUACACUCCGACUUCUAAAAAUCAUAUCUUUCGCAUACGAGCUCCGUUUUCGACGUUAUUUAUAUCCACGCGAAGGUGGGAACUUACUCUACAACUUUUGUUUAGACUCCGUCGGCUAAUUUUGACUUUAUUUUAAAAGUUAUAUUAUUAACAGACCGGGACACGAUUGGUCCGUUAAAAAUUCAUAACUUCUUCAUUCGAAGUCCGUUUUCGUCUAUCUUUUUAUUGUUACGUUAAUAUUAACGAGAUCUUCGAUUCUCGUUUAGUUUGAAUCGGCAAUAAACCGUUCGAUCUAAUAUUCGAAUUUCGGGUUGUACACUGCUAAGCCGAAACUUCGAAAAAUCAUAAUUUUUUCAUACGAAGUCAGAUUUGGGCGUUCUUUUUAUGGACGCUCUUAGUUUAACAUAUUCUACGACUUUCAUUUAGAUUUCUAAGGCUAAAUCUUGAUCUAUCAUAAAUUCACUAUUUACGCUUCCCGGUAUCGUGUCGGUUCCAUUGCGAAACUUCGACGAGUCAUAACUUCUUCGUUAUAACUCAGAUUUCGGCGUUCUUUAUAUCCCCGGAAUCCUUGUUUCAACCACUAAAACUUUAUAUAAAGAUAUCGGGCUUAUCUCACACUUUAAUUUUGACGCUUAUUUUUAUCUUUUAUUUAUUAUACAUUUAUAAAUAAGUAAUAAGCACACAAAUACACAUAAUUCACAUAAUACUCAAAUAUUUCAUCUUUAUUACUUCAAAAAGAGUUACAAUAGUUGACCUAGACUAUUACAUUGUCUAAAAAUGCUUAGCCCUGAAACCCGGGCGUUACANNNNNNNNNNNNNNNNNNNNNNNNNNNNNNNNNNNNNNNNNNNNNNNNNNNNNNNNNNNNNNNNNNNNNNNNNNNNNNNNNNNNNNNNNNNNNNNNNNNNNNNNNNNNNNNNNNNNNNNNNNNNNNNNNNNNNNUAUAUAUCACAUAUAUACAUCAUCUUUUAUCGUCAUCUUUCUAUCUUUCAUGAAAUUUCAAAAACAGAUAUACAUACUUAGAUUAUCCAUACCAGCAACUCAUAAUACACAUACACACAACACACUGAAAAUUGAAAAUUCUCACCCAUCUAAAUUCCUCAUAGGCUUCCUUGUUCAUAUGAUUUAAAAAACACGAUUUUGUUCCAUGGGACGUCUAUUUUUAGGUAUGAAGCUUUAGUUUGAGGCUAAUUUGUUGAAAUUCUAUUUUCAUUCAUGCCAGUAACCUAAAAUCGAAGGAGAAAUGGGUGAUUUUUGUAGUCUUGUACUUCCACUCCUCACUCUCCAACCUUCUCUAAUGGAUCAAAUUGGGUUUCCUCUCCUCUGUGUUCCUUUCACUUUAUGACUCCUUUCCUUUCUUUCUGGUAGUGACUUACCCACUCCACCAGAUACAUAAUUUUAAUUCUGAGAACAGGUAUCAGAAUGUUAAUUUUUCUUUUUCUUUUAGCAAGAUAAGCAUCUCAACACUUUAAAACACCUUCCUUCUCCAAUUAAGUUUGAAUAUUUUCCAAAAUCUCUUUAGUUUUGAGUGAAAAAACGGCUCAUGUGAUUGUGGAUGAUGAUAUUGAACAACUUCUUCUCGAAAAAACUAGCCAGGGAAUGCAACGCAGAGGUGAUCAGCAGAAUCUAGUGACUAAAUACUAUUAAUUAGGUCCUAAUUUUAUAGAAUUGGAUGACAUCCUCAUGCAUACAAGAAAUCUAUAUUAUAAAGUGAAUUAGUCGAAUGCAAGAAGGGAUAAUCUUUAUUACCUCAAAAAAUUAUUGAAUGAAUGGAAACUCAUCAAUAAAUACAACUUAUUUGCUCUUGUAGAAGAUCGUGAAGCAUGUUUGAACAUCAGGAAGAGCUUAAAGAAGAUGAUGAAGGAACUCAAAGGUGAAGAUUUUAGUUCAGUUCAAUAGGUGAUGCAAAAUACUUUGUUACUCAUCAUGAAGACCCAAAACACCCUACUUUUGAAAGAAACAAGAAAGAUGUUUACAAGUGGAGCUCUAUACAUGGACCUCGCAACAGGUGGGAGGUGUUUUCCGGCAAGCAUGGGUGGUUUUCCGGUGUAAUGGAGGUAGAUUUAUGGUGGGGAUGGAGGAGUGUGGUUCUGGUGUUGAAGUUAGGAUGAAGGGAUGGUGAAAUUAGGUAGACCUGGGUUUUCUUGGGGAUGAGAGAAAGGGGGGGGGGGUAACCAGGGGUGAGAUUAAGGGUUAGGUGUGUUUUUAAUAUUAUAAAAUGGUAAAAGAAAUAAAAAAAACUAUAAAAAAAACAAAUUAAAAGGGUAUAAUAGUCUUUUUUAUGUUUGAUAGGGACCAUAACCACAAAAAAGAUUUGAUUUUGGACCAAUGGUGCAAGUUGAAAAGAUUUUGGACUCCAUCCAUAUUUUUUGGCUAAUCACACGAACCAAAUUUAUAGUUUAGUCUUAGGCCCCGUUUGGUUCGCUAGAUUUCGGAUGAAUUAGGAGGAAUUAGAAAAUAAAUUCCUUUCAUAAAUGUGUUUGGAUGACCAAAUCACAUGAAACUAAUUUCCAGGGUGUAUAUUAAAAUCGGCAAGUAAAAGAUUUUCAAUUCUUUAGGUAAGCUGUAUGAAUCUUGAUUCAAUUCCUUAUCAAUUACAAUGUUGACAAAUUUACCCUUGUAUCCUAUUUCCAACUGAUACGUUUUCUUGGAAUCAAAACACAAUCAAAUUAAUAGCAAUAUGCCAAUAUCUCUUCUACAAUUACGUACUUCCCUCCACCGAUUAUAUAUCCCAUCGAUCGUUAUCUACCAUUCGAUUCUUAUUCUUCAUUCAUCUUCUUUGGUUCGGCUCGGGUUUAUUGCUUUUGUGAUAAACAAUUUUUCUGUGAUUUAUUAUGGUUAUUACUUCAUCGUGAGUGAUAUAGUGGCUACUGCUUCUAUUUUUUUUGUGAUUCAUUUUGGUUAUUGUUUUUUUCGUUUGAUUUUUCUCUGCGAUUAACGAUUGUAAUAAUACACAGUUUUAGUUCGUAUUUUUUUACAUGAUUAGCAAUUGUUUUUCUAGUUCUAUCAUUAAUCAGAAUUUUAAUCAUAUUUAUUUAAAAAAAUUACAAAAACCACUUAAAGGGUAUUUUGGUAAUAUUAUAUAACUCAUAUUCCAAUUCCUUUGACAAUUGGACAAACCAAACAGAAAAUAGAUUCCAUUUCAUAUCAGCCAAACACAUAUCAACUUAUACUUGAUUUAGAUUUCAAUUUCUUCAGAUUCCAAUUCCUUUUACAAAUUUCAUUCCUUCCAAAAACAUUCUACAAAACAAACGGGGCCUUAAAAUUAUCCAUCUAAGAUAAUAUCUAUAUAAUAAAAAUUAUUCUAUAUUAUCUUGGAAACUUUAAUUCUUGCUACAUUUCUUUUGGAUUGAAUGUUAAUUUUCAAAAAUAUUUCUUUAUCUUAUAAUUAAGUUACCUCAUUUUCGUUUCAAAUUUUUCUUAUAGUAUAAAAAACAAUUUAAUUUACUCGUUAAAACAGUAUUUGUUUCUUUUUAUUCUUAUUUCAAACAUUAAAAUACAUCAAUAUUUUUGUAUGUUGAAAAUCAUUGAUAUUUUACAUAUAUGACAUAAAAUUUAUGACAAUCUCUUAUGUCUGUCAUAACACUGCUGUAUGUCGUCCAUUGUCUGUCAAAAAAAACUUUUUUUUCUAGUAGAAAUCCAAGCAACUCCAUAGUCUUUUCCAAAUCCUCAUGUAUUAUUUUCUAAUUUUAACUUUUGUUUUAAUUUUCAUGUCUAACUAGGUUGUUUUUUUUUGUUUGUUUUUUUUAAUCUCCAAAUCGCCUUGGUUGCUUGGGAUUUGAUUUUUUUUUUUCGUUUUUGAUUUUCAUGGCUGCUUGGUUUUGUAUUGUUGUUUUGAUAUUCAUCUCCAAAUCGUGAAGGUUACAUGUGUUUUAAUUUUUAGAACUUAAUGUUUGUUUUGAUUUGUAUAUAUGUUAAUUAUUUUAAUUUGGUUUUUAUUAUAAGAUAGAUACAUGAAUAUUGUGGUGGUACUGUAUGGUAGGUACUAGCUAGCUUUUGGUGGUGGUGAUUGGAACUUUUAGCUUGCAAUGCAUAUAUUGUAAAUAACAAAAUAGGAAAAAAGACAAAUUGACGGUAGCUUAUAGACGGCGUUAACUAAAAGGUCAUUUUACAAUAUUUUGACGGUAGGUUAUAGACGGCUAAAAGCUCCUGCAAUUAUUUGAAACCAUUAGAACUGUUCACUAUUCGGAUAAAAUCGAAUUAUCCAAUUGGACAAUUUGGUUUGGAUAUUCGGAUUUUUGGAUUGGUUUUCAACAAAACCGAAUUAUUAUUUUGGAUUUCGGAUUGGUUUUGGUUUAUAAUAGUCCAAAAAAACCGAAUAAAUAUUUGUUAUUUAUCUAUUUAUAAUAUACAUCUAUAGUUUUUUUAUUAAUUUUGUAAUUUAUUUUUUCAAAUAGGAACGUUUCACCCGAUAAAAAAACAUUAAUAUGCAUUUUUACUCAAAAAUUUUCUAUCUAUAAAAUAUUUAACAAUAAUAUAUAAAAAACACUAGUAAUCUUAUAAUUAUUCUUCGUGUUAAAAUGUUUCGGUUUUUAAAAACCGAAUUAUAAAAACCGAUCCAACCGAAUUAUAAUUGGAUCGGAUCGGAUUGGAUUUAAAUUUAUUUUGGACUGUUCGGAUCUAUGUUUUGAAAACCGAAAUCAAUUUGGAUUCACUUGAUUGGAUCGGAUCAAACCGAUCCAUCCAAACGAACACUCAUAGAAACCACAACGCAACUAUCAUAUUUUCAGAAGUUUACAUAAACCUCCAAAUUCACCAAACCAUACAUAUAGACAAUUUCGCUAAGAGUAAAUUACACGAAUGGUCCCUAUGGUUUGGGGGUAAUUUAUGUUUUUGGUCCCUAACUUAUUUUUUAAACUCAGAAGGUCCCUAAUAUUUGUUUUUGUUACGCGAUUGUUCCUUACUUUUUGUUUUUGUUUCGCGCUUGGUCCUUGUCUUACCUAAAAAGACUAUUAUUUAAAUAGGGAAAAUAGUAUGACAAGUAGGGUAAUUUGAGGGAGUUUGGAUUGGAGAUGUGUUUAUUUAAAUAAGUUAAAAAAAAAAAUCAAGAGUAAAAUAGUCUUUUUAGGUGAGACAUGGAUCAAACGCAUAACAAAAACAAACAGUAGGGACCUUUCGAGUUAAAAAAAUAAGUUAGGGACCAAACACAUAAAUUACCCUAAACCAUAGGGACCAUUCGUGUAAUUUACUCUUUCUCUAAUUUACUCAUAAAAAAAAUAAACAAAAAAUUUGCUUUGGCUUGAUCCAACUCCAUCCGACCAUACUAUUAACUUUGACCAAUAUACUUUUUCUUAUCCUCAUCGAAGUUGCGAAUUAUAUGUACUAUAUUUAAUAAUUAAUAUACGUAAUGAAGUAAUAAUAUAACAAUCGAUAAGGUCAUUUAAUCUUCUCAUCUGCCCUCCACAAACAUUUUAAUUCCCGUCUACUCUUUAAAUCUUCACCUUCCCCUUCACUAAAUAUACUGAUGUUUUGGUCCUUCCCCUUCAUUGCACUUCUGUCCUCAUCACAUUUCUCUUUAGAUCCUCAUUAUCUUCUUCAAAAAUCAAAAUGCUCCGGUCUGCAAAACGAUCCUAUGAGUAUCUCACCAACCAUGUCCCCAAGCUUCUCCUCGUAACCAUAAUCUUUGCUAUCUUUAUUCAAGCAUUCAAACAAGCCCCAUACCAACUUCUUGAUGAUAAUUAUUUCAUCCACACACUCACUUUCUGUUUGCUAGCAAUCUCCAUUCUCGCAUUCUACUUCUUGAACAAGCCUCAAACCAUCUACCUCGUCGACUUCGCUUGUUUCAAGCCACCAUCCAUGCUCCGAGUGCCAUAUGCCACUGCGGUUGAACACGCCCAUAUCAUCUUGGCCUCGGAGCCCAAAAGCGUUUCUUUCCAAGUUAAGAUAUUCGAUAGAUCUGGUCUGGGUGAGGAAACAUGUUUACCACAUUCACUACACUAUCUACCACCAAAACCUAAUAUGAUGGAUGCUAGAGAUGAGGCUGAGAUGGUCAUUUUCUCAGCCAUGGAUUCUUUACUUCAGCAAACAGGGAUUAGUCCGAAGGAUAUCGAUAUUUU